CGGGCAAGCGGUUGCCAGUUGAUGCGGCAACAGUGCUGCCAGCCGCUGGCCCAGAUCUCAGAGCAGGCUCGGUGCCAGGCUGUCUGCAGCGUGGCCCAGGUCAUCAUGCGACAGCAGCAAGGGCAAAGUUUCGGUCAGCCUCAGCAACAAGUGCAAAGUUUCAGCCAGCCUCAGCACCAGGUUCCGAUUGAGAUAACGAGGAUGGUGCUCCAGACCCUUCCAUCGAUGUGCAACGUGAACAUCCCGCAAUAUUGCACCACCACCCCAUGCAGGACCAUCACUCAGACCCCCUACAACAUCCCUAUGACCGCUACCUGUGUUGGUGGUACCUGCUAAGAUCUGUGCUGCGCUAACUAGAUCGAUCGCCAUUUAGUUUAGAUGAUGGAUGAAGGGUGAAAAAUAAAGUAAAAGUGCCAUAUAUCAUCAUGUGUGGCCAGUACUGAUGCGACAUAGAAAUAAGAAACCUUUGUUUCUCAAUAAAGCUUUUGUCUGAAUAAAAUUGCAUGUUUUGCAUGAUAAGUGAGAUCAUAGAAGUAUCUCACCUUAUUGAAGUACUAUUGCAACUUUAAAUAACAAACAUCUGCUCCUGAAUAAAUCUGUUGUCAAAAUAAAAUUGCAUGUUUUGCGCGAUAGAUGAAAUCUCAGAAGCAUCUGACCGAAGUGGACCAUCAAUCUAUUGUAUGCCUCCCACUAAAUCAAGAUAAAUUCAGAACACGAAAGGACAAAUAAAAGAGCAGCACAAGGCACAUAUGGAGAAUGGAGAGAGAGCAGAUCAAACAACACAUGGCCACAAACAUGUAUGACCAAUAUAAAGAGGUGCCGGAUUUGAAACAAUGUUGACAUAUUCACUAUGUGCUUUCUUGUUCAAUCACAGAAUUAAUGUCAACCAAGCUGGUACAUAAGAAGUCAAUUAAUCCCUGUAGAGCCACUGCAGUAUGAUCACUUCCUGGAGACAAUAUAAUAAAUAUUAUUGUGCAUAAUACAUUUGCAAAGUCAAGAAAACAUGGAAGUUACAAAACCUAGUAGAUAUAACUGAAUAAUAUUUAAAGUCAUAAGAUAUAUUUUCAUAAUUUCACACCUAAUUAUACCUUUUUUUAUGCCACAUGAUUGUCUUUUUAUUUCAUAUAUACGAAUGAAUAUUGGCACACCCACAUAUUUUAUUUUACUGUGUUACACCAUUAAGAAAACCUUCUACUCUAGGAGUGGUUUAUUUUCCGUGAAACAAAUGAAAUCUAUGACACAUCUCACUGAAUUGAAGAAUCAUCAUACUCUACAUGGCUCCCAAUUAAACCAAAAAUUCACAACAUGAAGAGAGGGACGGUACAUACGUAAGAAGAGAUCCUGGAUCAAGGAACAUACACACAUGAACAAGCUUCAUAAAAAUAUUAAUGGAUUUGAUAACAUUGUUGACACACGUAAAGUUAUUAUCCAACACACACGAUAAAACUCAAUGCUACAUCAGAAGCUGAUUAAUUGCCGACAUGUCAUAGCCAUGAGCAUUGUGCAGCACAAUCACGGGCGGGACACAACAUAUAUUAAUAUUCUUGUGCUAGCCACAUUUUGGUGCCAAGUCAAGAAACCGUGGAGGUACCAAAAACUGAACACGCAUACUGUUGGAUACAAGAUAGAAGAAUGAAGGAUAUGUAUACUGGAAUAUAACUCUAUUGAGAAGCAACACUUGAUACAACGAAAUUUCAUAGGAAUGAUUUUUCUAGCGAACUACUCCCUCUGUAUCUAAAUAUAAGUCUUUUUUACAGAUUUCAAUAUGGACUAUAUACGGAAAAAAAAUGAGUUAAUCUAUACUCUAAAGUAUGGAAGCGAAUUAGGAGCACUCGGGUGCUCCACCCCCUAUAUUCAAAAAUAAUUUAAUAAUUCAAAAAAGUCAAAAAAAUACUGGAUAUAUUUUUGAAACAAAUAUGACUAGGUAUUGUAUUCAUAUAAAAAGUUUGGCCAAGGAAUGACUCUCGUUGAUUUCAGGGCAAAAAAAACAAAAUUUAUGAUGACAAUAUAGCAUGAAUAGUACUUGUAUAUAGCAUUUUUUUUUUAAAUCUUUGACCCCGGAUAUAAUAAAAGACAUUCCGUGUUUAAUCUUUGUAUACGAGUGCAAUACUUGGUCAUGUUUGAUUCCAUAAAAAGUUCCAGGAUUUUUUGAUUUUUUUGAAUUACUAAAUUAUUUUUAAAUAUAGGGGGGCGUAGCACCCCAGAGCUCCUAUGCAUUUUCGCUGAAGUAUGUCUAUAUACAUCCUUAUGUAGUAGUUCUUAUUGAUAUCUCUAAAAUACACUUAUAUUUAGGAAUGGAGGGAGUACAUGGUCACCUAUAUCACGAUAUAAUUCUAUAGUAAAGGGUUAAGCACCUUGUUCGCAAGAUUAUUAUCGGGGCGGAGUCAAAGGGUUCCAUUCUGGUUUAGCUUACUCCCUCCGUCCGCGAAUAAGUGUACUUCUAACUUUUGUCCUAAGUCAAAGUUUUAAAACUUUGACCAACUAUAUACAAAAAAGUAGUAACAUAUAUGAUAUCAAAUUGAUAUAUUAUGAAAAUACAUUUCAAAACAGAUCUAGUGAUACUAAUUUAGUGUCAUAAAUGCUGCUACUUUUUUCCAUAAAGUUGGUCAAAGUUUUAAAACUUUGACUUAAGACAAAAGCUAGAAGUACACUUAUUCGCGAACAGAAGGAUAUGUGUACUGGAAUAUAACUCUAUUGAGAAGCAACACUUGAUAAAACGUGUUGAUAAUGUAAGAGAGGUCGGGAUAGACCAAACUUGAGAUGUGAGAAGUCUGAAGGACUGAAGUAUCAACAAAGAACUAGCCAUGGAAAGGGGUGCAUUAAAGUUAACUAUCCAUGUGCCAGAACCAUGAGUUGGUUGCGAGAUCUUCAGCUCAAGCUACCUCAACUUAUUUGUUGUUGUUGUUGUUGAAAAGAUGCAGUAUACUCCCUCCAUUCCAAAAUAGAUGACCCAACUUUAGUUUCAAAAUAGAUGACCCAACGGAGGGAGUACAUCUAUAGGUCCAUGUGUAUUGUUUUCAGAUUUUUUGGAACUUCAAAAUAUGACUUUCCGAAUUUUGAAAAAAGAGCUUCAUGGAGCUCGAGCUAAAAAAAUCCAUUGUCCUCAUGAUACAUGCAUAAAACACAUACCUUUUACAAAAAAAAUAACAAGUUUAGGUUCACUGGCCAAAGCUACAAAAAUGCUACAUUAGACUUCCCACAUGUAAAACUAAUUUGAUGACUCAUGGCAUUUUAUCUCCUGCCAGCUUAUACAAGACUUUAAAACCAGUUCCAGGAAGCAAUUAAACUCGGCAUACAAAAAAAAAAAACUCAGUUUCACAUGCCGAAGCAUAGCCCCAUGACAAUCCUUGACAUGUAAAGGAAAAUUUAUGAGUCAUCAAUGCUCUGCUGAUGCCGUCUGUAUUACCAUUUACCAAUUAGUAGAACGAUACAAAAACCAGUUUUCAGAAAACAGCAAGAUGGAAUGCUGGACAUGCCAAUCUGAUUUAUAUCUAACAACUCGUACAAGACAACAAAACUGAUUUCGCAAAAAGACACAAUCGAGAUAUACGCUUGACAUGUAAAGUGGUCAGUGAUGAGUCAUAUGGAUUAUCGGGGUCAGGCGCAAGCUGACUGAUAUCUACACGAUAUGUGUUGAAAAGUAUAUUUGACGACCAUCCAAAAACGGACUCUUAGCACCACCUAACACAAGAUGACAGAUGAUUAGAUUGAAAAGUACGCAAAAGCUUUAUCAAAGCAACCAAGGAAUGCAAUGCACAACAUGAUGCCAUGGCAGCUAUAAAUAGGCCUGCACCAUGAAGACCCUCCCUCAUCACCCUUCACACAAACAUAAACACCAAAGCAAACUUAUAGCCAGCCACCAUGAAGAACCUGUUCAUCCUCGCUCUCCUCGCCUUCACGGCGACAAGCGCUGUUGCGCAGCUGUACACUACCUGUAGCCAGGGCUACGGGCAAUGCCAGCAGCAGCCGCAGCCGCAGCCGCAACCGCAGCCACAGCCGCAGAUGAACACAUGCGCUGCUUUCCUGCAGCAGUGCAGCCAGACAGCAUAUGUCCAGUCACAGAUGUGGCAGGCAAGCGGUUGCCAGUUGAUGCGGCAACAGUGCUGCCAGCCGCUGGCCCAGAUCUCGGAGCAGGCUCGGUGCCAGGCGGUCUGUAGCGUGGCACAGAUCAUCAUGCGGCAGCAGCAAGGGCAACGUUUCGGCCAGCCUCAGCAGCAGCAAGGGCAAAGUUUCGGGCAGCCUCAGCAGCAGGUUCCGGUUGAGAUAAUGGGGAUGGUGCUUCAGACCCUUCCGUCGAUGUGCAGCGUAAACAUCCCACAAUAUUGCACCACCACCCCGUGCAGCACCAUCGCCCCCGCCAUCUACAGCAUCCCCAUGACAGCUACCUGUGCUGGUGGUGCCUGCUAAGAUCUGUGAUGUGCUAGCUAGAUCGAUCACCGUUUAGUUGAUCGAUGAAGAGUUAUAAAAUAAAAGUGCCAUACAUCAUCAUGUGUGGCCAGUACCUCUGUUUCUGAAUAAAGCUUUUGUCCGAAUAAAAUCGCAUGUUUUACAUGAUAAAUGAAAUGUCAGAAGCUUUUCACCUUACUGAACCUUCUUACGUGGUGGAGUUACGGUCAGCCUCAGCAGCAGGUUCAGUUUGAGAUAAUGAGCAUGGUGCUUCACACCCUCCCGUCGAAGCACAGUUCAUACAUCCCGGCUUAUUGCACCACCACCCCCCUACAGCAUGCCUGUGGCUAUUAUUACCUGUGCUGGUGGUGGCUGCUAAGAUCUGUGCUGUGCUAGCUGGAUCGAUCAGUGUUCAGUUGAUCGAUGAAGCGGUGACAAAAUAAUGUGGCCAGUACGGAAAUAACAAACAUCUGCUCCUGAAUAAAGGUGUUAGCUGAAUAAAAUUGCAUGUUCUGUACGGUAGAAGAAAUCUCAGAAGCAUCUUACUGGAAUGAACCAAAACUCUAUAUUGUAUGGCUCCCAUUAUAUCAAAAGAAAUUCAAAACAUGAAAGGAGAAAUAAUAGAGGCACAAGGAACAUAUGGAAAGAGACCAGAUCAAAAAGCACACAGCCACAAACAUGUAUGAGCAACAUAAAGAGUUACCGGAUUCGAAACAGCGUUGACAUAUUAAGAAUGUGCUUUCUUGUCCAGUCACAGAAUUAAUGCCAACCAAGCUGCUACAUAAGAAUUCAAUUAAUCCCCAUAGACCCAGUGCAGGAUGAUCACUUCCUGGAGACAAUAUAGAUCAACAUUCUUGUACACAAUACAUUUGCCAAGUCAAGAAACCAUGGGAGUUACAGAACCUAGUGGCUAACUGAAUAAUACAAAAGCAGGAAUCGACAGGACUGGCAUUGUGAAAGACUAAGAAAAGCCUUGCAACUGCAACAAGCAACGAUGACCAAUCACUGGUCAACCCCGUAAACCAAACUGGGAAGCACCCAGAGGCUAUUUAGUGGACUGCAAUGGGCAGUGGCUGCGGAACUGAAUGACAUACGGUGAGUCGAGCUGGGCACCGGCUGUCCAACCUCUAUUGCAGUCCAUGGCUCAUCAAAAUCUUCUGAUUUUGUUGGAACAUAAAUAUAGUUACUCUUUCCUCCCCAUCUUUCAGGGUUCAUGCAAGAAAAUGUAGGGUUUCUCCUAUCAUUGGUGAGGAAGAGAGCCCAAUUGUCCAACUUAUCCAUCUUCACCCACUUAGCUGGUUCAACUGAGAAGUCGAGGCGGAAGACUUGAAAGGUGCCAGGAAAGCCAAACAGUUGGUCCAUGCUUACCGAGAGAUCUACCAAGAGAAGCAUGUCACCACAGACCACCAACCAUGGCUUAGAAUGAAGGCCUACGAGCAUGCUCUGUUCCCACAUAACUGCUACUUCCUGCAUGCUGAGCUCAGGUGAUAUGUGUAUGGUAUGUAGCCUUUGAACAAAGUCCAUGGCAAACAUCUGGCCUUUGAAGAGCACAAUCUGAUGGAUGAGUUCACCAACCUGAGGGUGCUCUGUCCAAGAAUUUGUUCCAACCUGCCACUGGAGCAUGGAGAUUCUCGAGAAAAGGAUGAGACGUGAAUUGGGCGAAUCUAGUGGAGCCGUAAGGAUGCCAAGGUAGAUCAAAGUGUUGCUCUCAGAUUGGAAUUUUGGUGGCUUCACCUUUGUGCCAGUGUACACAUCGACGAGAUGGCAGUGUCUCCUAUCAGAGAAGAUAAGAUAACCAUAUGAGCAGCCCAGAUAGCGCAUGGGAUGUGGAGUAAUUCCAGGCGCUGAACAACGAUGGGAUAAACUUUUCUUAGCAGGAUCAACAAGCUGCGAUUUCCGAUCUGAGUUGUAACUCUCCUGGCUUACAUCUGGUUUGAGGUGGAGAGGUGGGAAGCUGAAGGUAUAUACAGAUGGGAAGGAAGAGGCUGCGGCGUGCCAUGAGUGACAGGUGCCACGGAAAGCAAGGAAGUCAUGAAAUGAGCUAAUGAGCGAAAUGAUUUGGUGGAGCAGGCUGUCUAGAAGGCUUUCCCAGGCAUGAGAUCCCGAUGAGGAUGAGGAAAUAGAUCCAGAGGCAUCACAGAUUUUCUUAGAGGGCCUUGCUGCAACAGCAACUUCCCUGUCAUGGAGAAAAUUCAAGGGUCAGAAGAAAGAACUCAAAUAUAACAGAGAUAUAGCUAGUAAUUUAUUAGAAAUGUGGUAUAUAUGUGACAGAGGAGGUUGAAUUGGAUUUCCGGUAUAUAUGCUCUUACUAUACACACUAAGGCAAAAAAGCACGACUGUUUAACUGAACAAAGUUUAUUCCCAUUGUGAGAUGUAUAUAUCAAUAAUUCAAUAUGAACACCAAUGGUUCCUUCGUUGAGGCUACGGGGCAGGGACGUGCUGGUGCUUUAGCAAGGGACCACAAUGGCGUGGUCUUGCUUUCUACCUGGAGAAAGAGAAGCCUGUGUUCUGAGGCAGAGGAGGUUGAAGCUGUUCGAUGUGGUGAUUGGUUUGUCUCCGUCAGUUAUCUGAAAUUUACAGGGCGGCUGGUUGUGGGUGAAACGGACUGCACGGCCUUGUGGGGUGUACUGUCAGAAAAUUCAGAGAACAGAUCCUGCCGGGACUUCUACUACAGCAAGACAGAGAGACUGACAGAGUGCAGGCUGCGCAUAUAGGAUUGCAAGAGAGAGCAAUGGAGCAGCCCACCCGCCUGCAAAUUAUCGUAGAACAAACUAUCGCCAAGGAACAGACAAGUAAAUUAAGUUUCCCAUUCGAUUGUAACAACGCAUAUCAAUAUGCUAAACUUUAACCAGAACAGGGUACGUCAGGAUCACCUACAGCAUGAUAUUCUGUACAACAGAGUAUUGUCCUUAAUGUGCAACCACCCUAUGGUAUAUAAUUGUUGUGUUCAACCACUCUACGGUGUAAUUUCUUGGACGAGUUGCGAACAAUUUUACUGUUCAGAGCUCCCAGUUCCCCUAUGUACAGUACAGUACAGAUCGAGUCCAAUAGCAAUUUCACGCAGGAUGUCAGGAGUCAGGACAGGCGGCAACGGGGAAGACUAGGCUAGAUCUGUUCAAUAAGCUUCGGAUUGAGAAACCUAAGAGACAAGCAAGGUUAGGGUAAGGGCGCGCGAGGCGAGCACCUGGAGCUGAGGCUGGCUGGUGCCGGCGGCGGCGAGGGUUCGGCGGCCUGCUGCGGUCGCGCUCUCCGGCGCCGGCGGUGGCGCCGGUUCCCUGUCAUGCGCGCACGUACGGUGGCGUCCCCUCAACCGGCGGCUCCGGAUCGGCGCCGCCUACUGGUCGUCGGCGAGCGGCGGUGGUCGUCUCUCACUUUUUCGGGCGGUGGAGAGGCGUCCGAGAGGAGGCGGACUUUUUGCAGUUCGGGCCAGCGUCUCGGCCUUUAGCGCUAGCACGGGCCAGCCCAAGCACGGUACUGGGCUGAGAUAUAGUAGGGCCAUGUUCAGCCCAAAGCGAGCACGGAGCAUCCAAACGGGCCGCCCACAGCGAGCAUGUUACAGAAUGCUUUUCUGAAACCAAACAGCACCGUGAGGCAUGGCUUAACGGGGCACCAGGAACGUCAUCGUCGCAGUCAGAGGAAGGGAUGUGGAAAAAACUGUGGAAAACGGAGUACCAGGCAAAGUCCGGAUGUUUCUAUGGAGAUUGUCAAAACACUCCCUUCCCACUGAGGAUGUGUGAGCUCACCGCCAUAUGACGACGUCUAGCAGCUGCGGGCUAUGUGGGAUGCCGGAUUCGUGGAAACAUUCGCUGAUUCAAUGCACAAUGUCCAGAUGUGUAUGGGCCUUGGUGGAUGAGGAACUUGCACAUGAAAUGAUGGCGCUGACAGAGCCUAAAGCGAAGCAAUGGCUGUUCGCACUUAUUGAGUCCCUCACACAUGAUGAGUCUGUCCUCCUGUAGAUUACUCUGUGGUCAAUCUGGCAUGCGAGGCGCAAGGCGAUCCACGAGGGGAUUUUUCAGAGUCCUCAGGCAACACAAAUUUUCAUCAACAGAUACCGUGACGAGCUUAAUAUGAUCCGUCCGACAGUAAGAUGAACGAGUGCACCAAAUGCUCCAGUGGGACCGCAGAGACCCAAGGCACCUCCGACGGGUUUUGCAAAAAUUCACGUUGACGCAGCAGUACGACCAGGGAGAGGUGGGUCAGCGGCAGCGGUUUGUCGUGAUUCAAAAGGAAAUUAUUUAGGAAGUUUAGCCCUGGUGGUGGAAGGAGUGGAUGAUCCGGCUUCUCUGGAAGUUAUGGCAUGCAGGGAGGCAAUGUGUUUGGCAGAGGAUCUCCUUAUCAACAACUACAUUGUUGCCUCUGAUUGCAAGCAAGUUGUCUCCGACAUAAACUCGGGUAGUAGAGGGCAAUAUGGUGUCAUUCUGUCCGAGAUCAAUCUUCGAGCUAUCCUUUUUCAAUGUAUUUUUUCUUUUGAGUGUCGUGUUGUAAAUUAUGAAGCACAUAGUCUAGCCAGAUUCUCUCUUAGAAGGGGACCGGGGCGUCAUAUGUGGCUUGGCCAAUCCCAUGACCUAUCUUGUAUCCCACUCUCUGUGGACUUCGAUUAAUAAAGCUGGCUUUAUCCUAAAAAAAAGCUCCCUUGUUUUCGUUGAUUUUUUUUCAAAUUUUGCUUAUAUUUCAAAUAAUUAAAAAUAUAAAUACCUUCAAAUUAAUCUACAUAUUUUUUAUAAAAAACUUACGUACCAAUAAAAUUAUUUAUGUAAUGUAAAAACUUGUUUUUGUAUUAUUUUAAAAAUAUGCAUAUCAUUCAAAAAAAAUUCAUGACAUAACAAGUGUUCAAGUGUUUCAAAAAUAUGUUUAUGACAUUUUAAAAAACUGACUUAGUUUUGGAAAAAAAAAUUGUACCAUUCAAAACAUAUUUUCCUCGCAUUUUAGAAAAUGUUGGUAACACUCCAAAAUUCCUAAGCACACCUCUAAGUGAGAUGAGAUAGCAUAGCCGUAUAGGUAUGGCUAAGCACACCUCUAGGUAUGUAUUUCUAAUAUUAAUCCAUAGGGCACACCCCAAUGUCACCUCAGGCAACCCCAAAAAUUAUACUAAACAAUCACCUUAUAAUCUUUAUCUUUUCAAUCAUAAUUCGUAGAGUCACCCCAAUGUGAGUACCGAUAUGUUCUAAAAUUAUACUAGAUAUGCAUCACAUAAUCUCAUUGAUUUGCAAAAGAUUAAAGCCUACUUAAAGGAACUCAUAGCAGGAGCAAAAUCCAAUUCAUUACACCGAUAAUAUAAGGGAUACAUCACAUAGUUCGACUCCAUUAACAAGCCCAUGGUAACAAUCAAGAUUGGAAAAUGAUCACAAGAGUGAGGUAAAACAUAUUGUUAUUGGUACAAACGCUCAACCACGAGAGUGGGCUAAAAUUGCAUCACCAUAGGAGUAGCACGGUGAUGGAGAGGUUGAAGAGGAUCAAUUCGACCCUCAGACAGGGUGCCAGACAAUGGCCGAAGAAGAUCGCUUCGGAUAGAGAAGUGUCGACAACAGAAAAAUCUUUCAAGCAUUUUUUAGUAUAUGUAGAGCAAGGGGGGCGAGAGGCGGCAGGGAGGAGGUCAAGGGGCUCUGCGCGUCCCAGCGCUAGGUUGCGUCGUGGGUCCAUGCGAUGGCCUGGUGCCCCCUCCAGGUGAGCUUCUAGCCCAAGGUCUCUUUUGGCUUGAAAGUUCACAAAAGAUUUUUAUUUCAAUUUUUUUGUCCUAAAAAAAUAUUACUUAUGCAAAUUCAAAAUAUAUGCAGUACUGACACUGGGCACUUAAUAGGUUAGUCGAAUAAAAUAAUAAAAAUGAUUCCAAAAUUAUGCAAAUGAUACAAAAAUAGCAUAAGAAAUCAAUUAUAGAUACGCUUGAGAUGUAUCAACCCCUGCAGGGUUAAAACUUUUCCAAUAGCCAUGCCCGCAGUCAUGUGACUACUUGCUGAUCUAUGCUUGAUCAUAUACAUCAUUAAUGGUUACCUUAAAAACUAUCAAGAUAAGCCUGAGUAUCUUUAAUUGCUUCUGCGUGGGUGAGUCGAGGAAUUAUGCAUGUUUAAAAAGCAUGUGUUCGUCACACCCAUGCAUGAGUGUUGUAACAAGAGAAAUCACAUAGCACGAGACGUGCCCUUACUAAAAGUUUUUUUGUCCAUGUGUUCGUCGAAUUUUAUGUGAACGGUCCUUUGCGAAUUCAACAAAGCAAGUUAGGACCUCGUCUCAACAUGACGUUUUCUCUUUUACCCCGACAUGAAGGUUGCACGUUUCACUACAUCGGGUAUCUCUUCUUGAGCAUCAAAAUGACUGAAUGCAUCUAAAAACUAAUCUUAUAUAUACCCAUGUAUAAAUUGUGACCAUUUCAACGUUAAGAUCUUGAUGCUAGGCCCACCCAACCCAGUGAAUAACAGAAUUUGCUUUUGACUAAAAGAAGGGCUUGGCGGCUUGAGUAUGGUUGGGCUUAGCAGCAGAUAUCAACCUUGGAGGAUUACAAACUCAUAGCUCACCUUGUACAAGAUCAGUUUCACAACAUUGGAGCAUAGCUCCAUGGCAAUCCUUGACAUGUAAAGAGCAUCCUAUGAGUCAUGCCGUGCUCUAGUAAUGCAUGUUUAUCUUACCAACUCAUAUAACAUUACAAAAUCAGUUCCAGGGAACAAUUAAUCAAGGAAAGAACGGAGUGUGUGAAUGGAAAAGCUAAUUCAUACCUAACUCACGUACAAGAUUACAUAAUGGGUUUUGCAAAAAGAUAUGCGACCCAAACUAUGCUUGACAUGUAAAGUGAUGAUUGAUGAGUCAUAUGCAGGUGAUAUGUGCCGAAAAGUACAUUUGAUGAUCAUCCAAGAUUAGACUUGUAGUGCCACCUAACACAAUAAUACGAGAUGAUCAUUUUAAAAAGCAUGGAGUGUGUGAAUGGAAAAGCUAAUUUAUACCUAACUCAUGUACAAGAGUACAGAAUGGGUUUUGCAAAAAGAUAUGUGACCCAAACUAUGCUUGACAUGUAAAUUGAUGAUUGAUGAGUCAUAUCCAGGUGAUAUGUGCCAAAAAGUAUAUUUGAUGAUCAUCCAAGAUUAGACUUGUAGUGCCACCUAACACAACAAUACAAGAUGACCAGUUUAAAAAGCAUCCAUUUGCUUUUGUAAAGUAAUAUAGGAAUGGAAUGCAGCAAACUAGAACAUGCCAACUAUAAGUAUGCAUGUACCAUGAAGACCACAAUCAACCUUUAGACAACCACAAUCAUCCAAGCAACUUGAGGCUAGCCACCAUGAAGACAAUGUUCAUCCUCGCUCUCCUCGCCCUUGCAGCAUCCACCGCCACUGCCCAAUUGGAAACCAUCUGUAGCCAGGGCUUCGGACAAUGCCAACACCACCAACAAGUGGGGCAACAACAGUUGCUGGAUCAGAUGAAGCCAUGUGUGGCUUUCGUACAACAUCAAUGUAGCCCAGUGGGAACACCAUUCUCCCAAACACGGGGAGAGCAACAUAGCAGUUGCCAAACCGUGCAACACCAAUGCUGUCGGCAGCUGGUGCAGAUCCCAGAACAGGCCCGGUGCAAGGCCAUCCAGAGCGUGGAAGAGGCUAUCAGUCAACAACAGCCCCAACAAGAAUGGAAUGAGCCCCAACAGGAAGCACAACUUAAGAGCAUGAGGAUGUUGCUUCAGACCCUGCCGUUUAUGUGCAACAUCUACGUCCCGGUACAAUGCCAGCAACAGCAUCAACUUGGGCGACAACAACAACAACAGUUGCAGGAGCAGUUAAAACCGUGUGCGGCAUUCCUACAACAUCAAUGUAGGCCAAUGACAGUGCCAUUCCCGCAUACACCGGUGCAUAAGCCCACCAGCUGCCAGAGCGUGCAGGCCCAAUGCUGCCGGCAGCUAGCACAGAUCCCAGAGAAAUUCCGCUGCCAAGCCAUCCGUAAUGUGGUAGAGUCUAUCAGGCAACAACAACAUCACCAACCACAACAAGAAGUACAACUUGAGGGCCUGAGGAUGUCACUUCACACCCUACCGUCGAUGUGCAAAAUCUACAUCCCUGUACAAUGCCCAGCCACCACCACCACCCCCUAUAGCAUUACCAUGACAGCUAGCUAUACCGAUGGUACCUGCUAGUUGAUCAAUAUAGCAGUGGCAAAAUAAAAAUGGCAUGCAUCAUCAUGUGUGCCUAGUACUAAUUGCAACAUGAAAAUAAUGAACAGAUGUUCCUGAAUGAAGCACUUGUCUAAAUAAAGCUACAUGUUUGCAUGAUAUAUUAAGUCUAUGAUUUUUCUGACUGAACUUAACCAUCACCAUACUCUGUAUAUCUCCCAUUACCAAUAGUUCAUAGCCAGAAGAAAAAGAUAAUACACUUUGUUUUAGAACGAAGGCUCAAGAAGGACCUGACUUUGAAUUAACAAAGUCAUCAACUGGUCUGAAAUUACAACGACCAUCAUCCAGCAACAAAAAACAAAAAGAAAUGAAAGAAUUCCUUAUUUAACAUUGUUUUAAAUAUGGUUUUCCUAUUUGACACUGGAAAAAUAUUUUUUCCCUAUCUAACAGCAACUUUAAAUUUUGUUCCCAAUAUAACACUUGCGUCUAUUUUUGACCUAAUGGUGUUGAAUGACACAUGAAAUGACAAGUUUACCCCUGGCACUAGAAGCACCUAAGUCAGAUCAAGUUCACUGUCAUUGGCUUCACCCGGCCCACAAUCCCUCGUACUCGGGAGCACCGAGUGGCACAGGAGGCGGGUGGUCGCGUCGCUCCGGAGUAACAACCGAUGUAGGCCUUCCUUGCCGGCACGCCGCACGAGCAUAUGUUGCGCUGGACUGCGCUGUGCAGGGUUGUCUGCAUGACAGAUCACAAGGAGACGGCGAGCUAUGACCUCAGUCUGUGCAAACUGAUCAAUGGUUCCGGCUGGAGAAACUGGUCAAGGCGGGGGCGUUGGGCAAGCCCGUGUGGUGGAGUGUUGUUUAGAAUGCUAGAUCGAUUCCUUCAAAUACAGUGCACGUACUGCAAAGCUAGCUCACAAUCACACAAGCAGCUCGAUUGAUUUUCCCCUAGAAACAAGCUAGCUCACAAACACACAAACAGCUCGAUUGAUUUUCCUCUAGAAGCAAAACGAGCACGUGCUCGUCUCUAGCCGUAUGUACAUACGUACUUGAACCUUGCUUGCGGUACUUGUUCGUAGUACCUUUUGGCUUAUUUUGUUACACAAACCAUGAAUCCCACCCUUAAAUAAGACACCCCGAAAUAAAGAAAAGGAGCGUAUAGAUGUUUGAGGGCAUAAUUGUCAUUUCACAUGCGAUUUAGCAAACUUUGCCCAAAAAAUGGACGAGAUUGUUAUAUUGAGAACAAAAUUUAAAGUUUGUGUUAAAUAAGGAAGAAAUAUUUUUCCAGUGUCAAAUAGGGAACGACGCAUACAUAGUAUUGCCCAAGCAGCUUACAAGCAGCAAAGGUAGCAAGUACUCUAUAGAUAAGAAAACUAAGCACUAGCUUGAUGUCCAUGGAGUCCUCAAAACGCAAGGGGAGUAGAGCAAACAGAGUGAAACUUCAAUUGGAGACAUAACCCAACGGCGGAGCAACACAACCUCAUCUACUUCGAGAAGUGAAAACCAAAUCGUGCCAGUCCUCACCAAUCCUGCCCCUCACCCUGGAGAAAGGCACUGGACCGCCAGUACGUAAACUUACCGCUGCGCUAAGAACACCAUACAAAGAGCCACGACGGUGCUCACAGAUCCAAUCACGAAGAAAAAAGUGGCUCAAGGUUGAGGAACCUGAACAAACAUUCUAGGCAGGAGAUGAGUCAAUAUAACAAGAACCAGACCAUGCCCGCCUACAUCAGGACCAUGCUACUGCAACGUUAUGCUGCUAGCGAUAAAGGGGAAUCCUAUUGCCCCGUCCCCCAAGAAGCUGGCACUGACCGACCCAUGAGCAAGCACACACAUACCGUGCUUCAAACACCUAAGGAAAUCAGAAAAGCACUGGUCUUGUGAGACGAAACAUCAAACAUCACCUCCUUCCUCGAAGACUCUACACACCCAAACCAACUCGCAAAGCACCUGCACAUACCAUGCUGUCGCCUGGUCUUGGACAGACAAAAGUGGCACCUACAAGGUGAAGCAUGCCGCGCCGCUGCCACCCGGUCAUGGAUAGAUAAACAUUUUCACCCAACAUAUGGGUAAGAGGGAAUGGGAUCAUACCAAGAUGAUGAUUCCGAGAAGGGGAACGACACCAGGUGAUGUCGUUGUUGUCUGACCGGAGAACGACAUACGGCGCCGCCACACCAUUCAAGGCCACUGGCUCGGCGUCCACUGCCCUCAGUGUGGAGGCGGAGCAGCCACAUCCCGCCCGCUGCUAUCCUCGGCGACCAUGUGGGCUUCGCUGGAGGCCUCCUCAGGCGGCAAUGAUGAAGGAAGGGAAGGGGACGGAUGGUCGGCGGCUAGAGUUUCAUCUCAACCCGUGUUGCCCGGAGUGGAGUGACAUGGGCUAUGCCUUCAAAUACUCCCUCCGAGUCCGAAAAUACUUGUUGGAGAAAUGAAUGCAUCUAGACGUAUUUUAGUUCUAGAUACAUCAAUUUUUAUGCAUUUCUCUGACAAGUAUUUCCGGACGAAGGGAGUAUAAAUUAAGCUCUAACGCCGUCAAGAUGGUACACAUGAGGAACAUAAACAUAUGAACGAGCUAUAGAAAUGAAAAGUAAACAGUUUUGAUACCAGUGUUGGCUUAACAAGAAUUCUUUCUUAGUACACAUGAUAAGCCUCAAAAACAUGAAACUUUAGAAGCAUCUUAAUAUACUAAACCAUCACUUUAUUGAGAAAUAAAGAUAGAGCUGCAACUGUUCUCAAAUUUGGUAUACUUCCUGUAGUCCAUCGUGCAACCAUGAAUUGCUGCGAGAAGAGUUUGAAUUGCGUCACUACUUUGAUAGGGCUAGAUUAGAUUUCCACUUGAUUUUUCUAGAAGAAAUUUUGACAUACUACUAUGGGCCCUAGACUGGAUGGGAAAUUGGGAAUCAUAAGUGGAUUGAUUGAUCUCCUCGGACCGCGAAUGGAAAAGGGGAUUAAGACUACCUCUAUCAGAAAUAGAUAGAACCACAUCUAUUCUCUUUGGUCUAUAUAUUUACACUAAGAAAAAAGGGUAAAAUUCAGUAUCAUGUUCUAAAGUUAUAGAUGGAUGUGCUCUCCAUUGGCAUUUUCUUCAGCAUCGACACGGAGCUCCGGGAGAUAGUGCUGGAGAGGAUGCAUUGUGUUCUGCAUUGGUGUCCACUAGAAGAUGGUCGAUCUGAAGAAAAUAUGCCCUAGAGGCAAUAAUAAAGUUAUUAUUUAUUUCCUUAUUUCAUGAUAAAUGUUUAUUAUUCAUGCUAGAAUUGUAUUAACCGGAAACUUAGGACAUGUGUAAAUACAUAGACAAACAUAAUGUCACUAGUAUGCCUCUACUUGACUAGCUCGUUGAAUCAAAGAUGGUUAAGUUUCCUAGCCAUAGACAUGAGUUGUCAUUUGAUUAACGGGAUCAUAUCAUUGGAGAAUGAUGUGAUUGACUUGACCCAUUCCGUUAGCUUAGCACUUGAUCGUUUAGUAUGUUGCUAUUGCUUUCUUCAUGACUUAUACAUGUUCCUAUGACUAUGAGAUUAUGCAACUCCCGUUUACCGGAGGAACACUUUGUGUGCUACCAAACAUCACAACGUAACUGGGUGAUUAUAAAGGUGCUCUACAGGUGUCUCCGAAGGUACUUGUUGAGUUGGCAUAUUUCGAGAUUAGGAUUUGUCACUCCGAUUGUCGGAGAGGUAUCUCUGGGCCCUCUCGGUAAUGCACAUCACUAUAAGCCUUGCAAGCAAUGUGACUAAUGAGUUAGUUACGAGAUGAUGCAUUGCAUAACGAGUAAAGAGACUUGCCGGUAACGAGAUUGAACUAGGUAUUGAGAUACCGACGAUCGAAUCUCGGGCAAGUAACAUACCGAUGACAAAGGGAACAACGUAUGUUGUUAUGUGGUUUGACCGAUAAAGAUCUUCGUAGAAUAUGUGGGAGCCAAUAUGAGCAUCCAGGUUCCGCUAUUGGUUAUUGACCGGAAACGUGUUUCAGUCAUGUCUACAUUGUUUUCGAACCUGUAGGGUCCGCACGCUUAAAUUUAGAUGACAGUUAUAUUAUGAGUUUAUGUUUUGAUGUACCGAAGGUAGUUCGGAGUCCCGGAUGUGAUCAUAGACAUAACGAGCAGUCUCGAAAUGGUCGAGACAUGAAGAUUGAUAUAUCGGAUGACUAUAUUCGGACACCGGAAUAGUUUCGGGGGUUAUCGGAUAUAUACCGGAGUACCGGGGGAUUACCGGACCCCCCCGGGGGGUGGUGGUUAAUGGGCCACAUGGGCCCAAAGUGGAGAAGAGGAGGGGCGGAUAGGGUAGGCCACGCGCCCCCUCCCCCUCUAGUCCGAAUUGGACAAGGAGGGGGGCCCUUUCCUUCCUCCCCUCUCUCCCUUCCUCCCCCCUCUCCUACUUGGACAAGGAAAGGAGGGAGUCCUACUCCCGGUGGGAGUAGGACUCCCCUUGGCGCGCCCCCUCCUGGCCGGCUGCCCCCUCCCCCUUGCUCCUUUAUAUACGGGGGCAGAGGGGCACCUCUAGAUACAACAAUUGAUCAUUGAUCUCUUAGCCGUGUGCGGUGCCCCCCUCCACCAUAAUCCUCCUCGAUAAUAUUGUAGCAGUGCUUAGGCGAAGCCCUGCGUCGGUAGAACAUCAUCAUCAUCACCACGCCAUCGUGCUGACGAAACUCUCCCUCGACACUCGGCUGGAUCAGAGUUCGAGGGACGUCAUCGAGCUGAACGUGUGCAAGAACUCGGAGGUGCCGUGCUUUCGGUGCUUGAUCGGUCGGGCCGUGAAGACGUACGACUACAUCAACCACGUUGUGCUAAUGCUUCCGCUUACGGUCUACGAGGGUAUGUGGACACACUCUCCCCUCUCUUUGCUAUACAUCACCAUGAUCUUGCGUGUGCGUAGGAAAAUUUUGAAAUUUUUGCGUUACCCAACAAUGACAUCUGAGCCAGGUUUUAUGCGUUGAUGUUAUAUGCACAAGUAGAACACUAGUGAGUUGUGGGCGAUACAAGUCAUACUGCUUACCAGCAUGUCAUACUUUGGUUCGGCGGUAUUGUUGGAUGAAGCGGCCCGGACCGACAUUACGCGUACGCUUACGCGAGACUGGUUCUACCAACGUGCUUUGCACAUAGGUGGCUGGCGGGGGUCAGUUUCUCCAACUUUAGUUGAACCGAGUGUGGCUACGCCCGGUCCUUGAGAAGGUUAAAACAACACUAACUUGACGAACUAUCAUUGUGGUUUUGAUGCGUAGGUAAGAACGGUUCUUGCUCAACCCAUAGCAGCCACGUAAAACUUGCAACAACAAAGUAGAGGAAGUCUAACUUGUUUUUGCAGGGCAUGUUGUGAUGUGAUAUGGUCAAGACGUGAUGCUAUAUUUUAUUGUAUGAGAUGAUCAUGUUUUGUAACCAAGUUAUCGGCAACUGGCAGGAGCCAUAUGGUUGUCAGUUUAUUGUAUGCAAUGCAAUCGCCCUAUAAUUGCUUUACUUUAUCACUAAGAGGUAGCGAUAGUCGUAGAAGCAAUAGGUGGCGAAACGACAAUGAUGCUACGAUGGAGAUCAAGGUGUCAUGCCGGUGACGAUGGUGAUCAUGACGGUGCUUCGAAGGUGGAGAUCACAAGCACAAGAUGAUGAUGGGCAUAUCAUAUCACUUAUAUGUUGGGGAACGUAGCAGAAAUUCAAAAUUUUCCUACGUGUCACCAAGAUCUAUCUAUGGAGAAACCAACAACGAGGGGAAGGAGAGUGCAUCUACUUACCCUUGUAGAUCGCUAAGCGGAAGCGUUCAAGAGAACAGGGUUGAAGGAGUCGUACUCGUCGUGAUCCAAAUCACCGGAGAUCCUAGUGCCGAACGGACGGCACCUCCGCGUUCAACACACGUACAGCCCGGUGACGUCUCCCACACCUUGAUCCAGCAAGGAGAGAGGGAGAGGUUGAGGAAGACUCCAUCCAGCAGCAGCACAACGGCGUGGUGGUGAUGGAGGAGCGUGGCAAUCCUGCAGGGCUUCGCCAAGCACCGCGGGAGAGGAGGAGGGAGAGAGGUAGGGCUGCGCCAGGGAGAGGUGAAACUCAUGUGUUGGCAGCCCCAAAACCCUCAAGUAUAUAUAGGGGAGAGGGAGGGGGUGCGCCCCCUCUAGGGUUUCCACCCCAAGGGGUGCGGCUGCCCCAAUCCCAUCUAAGGGUGGCGGCCAAGGGGGGAUAGGGGGGAAACUUGCCCCCCAAGUUAGGUGGAAGCACCCCUCCCCAAACCCUAGGCGCCUUGGGCCCUUGUGUGGGGGCGCACCAGCCCACCUGGGGCUGGUCCCCUCCCACACUUGGCCCAUGCAGCCCUCCGGGGCCGGUGGCCCCACUUGGUGGACCCCCGGGACCCUCCCGGUGGUCCCGGUAUGUUACCGAUAAAACCCAAAACUUUUCCGGUGACCAAAACAGGACUUCCCAUAUAUAAAUCUUUACCUCCGGACCAUUCCGGAACUCCUCGUGACGUCCGGGAUCUCAUCCGGGACUCCGAACAACAUUCGGUAACCACAUACAAACUUCCUUUAUAACCCUAGUGUCAUCGAACCUUAAGUGUGUAGACCCUACGGGUUCGGGAACCAUGCAGACAUGACUGAGAUGUUCUCCAGUCAAUAACCAACAGCGGGAUCUGGAUACCCAUGUUGGCUCCCACAUGUUCCACGAUGAUCUCAUCGGAUGAACCACAAUGUCAAGGACUCGGUCGAUCCCGUAUACAAUUCCCUUUGUCUAGCAGUAUUGUACUUGCCCGAGAUUCGAUCGUCGGUAUCCGAUACCUUGUUCAAUCUCGUUACCGGCAAGUCUCUUUACUCGUUCCGUAACACAUCAUCCCAUGAUCAACCCCUUGGUCACAUUGUGCACAUUAUGAUGAUGUCCUAUCGAGUGGGCCCAGAGAUACCUCUCCGUCACACGGAGUGACAAAUCCCAGUCUCGAUUCGUGCCAACCCAACAGACACUUUCGGAGAUACCUGUAGUGCACCUUUAUAGUCACCCAGUUACAUUGUGACAUUUGGUACACCCAAAGCAUUCCUACGGUAUCCGGGAGUUGCACAAUCUCAUGGUCUAAGGAAAAAAUACUUGACAUUGUAAAAGCUUUAGCAUACGAACUACACGAUCUUUUUGCUAGGCUUAGGAUUGGGUCUUGUCCAUCACAUCAUUCUCCUAAUGAUGUGAUCCCGUUAUCAAUGACAUCCAGUGUCCAUGGUCAGGAAACCGUAACCAUCUAUUGAUCAACGAGCUAGUCAACUAGAGGCUUACUAGGGACAUGGUGUUGUCUAUGUAUCCACACAUGUAUCUAAGUUUCCUAUCAAUACAAUUACAGCAUGGAUAAUAAACGAUUAUCAUGAACAAAGAAAUAUAAUAAUAACUUAUUUAUUAUUGCCUCUAGGGCAUAUUUCCAACAGUCUCCCACUUGCACUAGAGUCAAUAAUCUAGUUCACAUCGCCAUGUGAUUAACACUCACAGGUCACAUCGCCAUGUGACUAACAUCCAAAGAGUUUACUAGUGUCAUUAAACUAGUUCACAUCAUCAUGUGAUUAAGACUCAAUGAGUUCUGGGGUUUGAUCAUGUUUUACUUGAGAGAGAAGUUUUAGUCAACGGGUCUGCAACAUUCAGAUCCGUAUGCACUUCGCAAAUCUCUAUGUCAUAUUGUGAAUGUUGCUUCCACGCUCCACUUGGAGCUAUUCCAAAUGGUUGUUCCACUAUAUGUAUCCGGUUUGCUACUCAGAGUCAUUCGGAUAAGUGUUAAAGCUUGUAUCGUCGUAACCCUUUACGCCGAACUCUUUAUCACCUCCAUAAUCGAGAAACAAAUCCUUAUUCCUCUAAGGAUAAUUUUGAUCGCUAUCUGGUGAUCCACUCCUUGGUCACCUUUGUACCCUCUUGCCAGACAUGUGGCAAGGCACACAUCAGGUGCGGUACUUAGCAUAGCAUACUAUAGAGCCUACGUCUAAAGCAUAGGGGACAACCUUUGUCCUUUCUCUUUUUCUGACGUGGUCGAGCUUUAAGUCUUAACUUCGUACCUUACAACUCAGGCAAGAACUCCUUCUUUGACUGAUCCAUCUUGAACACUUUCAAGAUCAUGUAAAGGUACGUGCUCAUUUGAAAGUAUUAUUAAGCAUUUUGAUCUAUCCUUAUAGAUCUUGAUGCUCAAUGUUCAAGUAGCUUAAUCCAGGUUUUCUAUUGAAAAACACUUUUCAAAUAACCCUAUAUGCUUUCCAAAAAUUCUACAUCAUUUUUGAUCAACAAUAUGUCAACAACAUAUACUUAUCAGAAAUUCUAUAGUGCUCCCACUCACUUCUUUGGAAAUACAAGUUUCUCAUAAACUUUGUAUAAACCCAAAAUCUUUGAUCAUCCUAUCAAAGUGCAUAUUCCAACUCCGAGAUGCUUACUCCAGUCCUUAGAAGGAUCGCUGGAGCCAGCAUACCUUUUAGCAUCCUUAGGAUCGACAAAACCUUUCUGAUUGUAUCGCAUACAACCUUUCCUUACGAAAACUGGUAAGGAAACUCGUUUUGACAUCCAUCUGCCAGAUUUCAUAAAUGCAGCUUGUGCUAACAUGAUUCCAACGGACUUUAAGCAUCGCUACGGAUGAGAAAAUCUCAUCGUAGUCAACUCCUUGAACUUGUGAAAAACUCUUCGCCACAAGUCGAGCUUCAUAGAUGGUGACAUUACCAUCCACGCCCGUCUUCUUCUUAAAGAUCCAUUUAUCUCAAUGGCUUGCCGAUCAUCGAGCAAGUCCACCAAAGUCCAUGCUUUGUUCUGAUACAUGGAUCCUAUCUCGGAUUUCAUGGCUCCUAACCAUUUGUCGGAAUUUGGGCCCACCAUCUCUUCUCCAUAGCUCGUAGGUUCAUUGUUGUCUAGCAAAAUGGCCUUCAAGACAGGAUCACCGUACCACUCCGAAGCAGUACACGUCUUUGUCGUCCUACGAGGUUCGGUAGUUACUUGAUCCGAAGCUUCAUGAUCAAUAUCAUAAGCUUCCACUUCAAUUGGUGUAGGUGCCACGGGAACAACUUCCUGUGCCCUGCUACACACUGGUUGAAGUGAUGGUUCAAUAACCUCAUCAAGUCUCCACUAUCCUCCCACUCAAUUCUCGAGACAAACCUUUCCUCGAGAAAGGACCCGAUUCAAGAAACAAUCCCUAUUGCUUUCGGAUCUGAAUUAGGAGGUAUACCCAACUGUUUUGGGUGUCCUAUGAAGAUGCAUUUUAUCCGCUUUGGGUUCGAGCUUAUCAACCUGAAACUUUUUCACAUAAGCGUCGCAGCCCCAAACCUUUAAGAAACGACAACUUAGGUUUCUCCAAACCACAGUUCAAACGGUGUCGUCUCAACGGAAUUACGUGGUGCCUUAUUUAAAGUGAGUGCAGUUGUCUCUAAUGCCUAACCCAUGAAUGAUAGUGGUAAUUCGAUAAGAGACAUCAUGGUACACACCAUAUCCAAUAGGGUGCAACUAUGAUGUUCGGACACACCAUCACACUAUGGUGUUCCAGGCGGUAUUAAUUGUGGAACAAUUUCCACAAUGUCUUAAUUGCAUGCCAAAGCUUGUAACUCAGAUACUCAUCUCUAUGAUCAUAUCAUAGACAUUUUAUCCUGUUGUCACAAUGAUCUUCAACUUCACUCUGAAAUAACUUGAACCAUUCAAUAAUUCAGACUUGUGUUUCAUCAAGUAAAUAUACUCAACAUCUACUCGAAUCAUCUGUGAAGUAAGAACAUAACGAUAUUCACUGCAUGCCUCAGCACUCAUUGGACUGCACACAUCAAAAUGUGUUACUUCCAAAAGGUUGCUAUCUUGUUCCAUCUUACUGAAAAACGAGGCUUUUUAGUCAUCUUUCCCAUGUGGUAUGAUUUGCAUAUCUCAAGUGAUUCAAAAUCAAGUGAGUCCAAACGAUCCAUCUGCAUGGAGUUUCUUCAUGCGUAUACACCAAUAGACAUGGUUCACAUGUCUCAAACUUUUCAAAAAAUGAGUGAGUCCAAAGAUCCAUCAACAUGGAGCUUCUUCAUGCGUUUUAUACCAGUAUGACUUACAUGGCAGUGCCACAAGUAAGUGGUACUAUCAUUACUAUCUUAUAUUUUGGCAUGAAAAUGUGUAUCACUACGAUCGAGAUUCAAUAAACCAUUCCUUUAGGUGCAAGACCAUUGAAGGUAUUAUUCAAAUAAAUAGAGUAACCAUUAUUCUCCUUAAAUGAAUAACCGUGUUGCGAUAGACACAAUCCAAUCAUGUCUAUGCUCAACGCAAACACCAAAUGACAAUUAUUCAGGUUUAAUACUAAUCUUGAUGGUAGAGGGAGCGUGCGAUGUUUGAUCACAUCAAACUUGGAAACACUUCCAACACAUAUCGUCAGCUCACCUUUAGCUAGUCUCUGUUUAUUCCGUAGCCUUUUAUUUCGAGUUACUAACACUUAGCAACCGAACCGGUAUCUUAAUACCCUGGUGCUACUAGGAGUACUAGUAAAGUACACAUUAACAUAAUGUAUAUCCAAUAUACUUCUAUCGACCUUGCCAGCCUUCUCAUCUACCAAGUAUCUAGGGUAAUUCCGCUCUAGUGACUGUUCCCUUAUCAUAGAAGCACUUAGUUUCGGGUUUGGGUUCAACCUUGGGUUUCUUCACUAGAGCAGCAGCUGAUUUGCCGGUUCAUGAAGUAUCCCUUCUUGCCCUUGCCCUUCUUGAAACUAGUGGUUUCACCAACCAUCAAAAUUGAUGCUCGUUCUUGAUUUCUACUUUCGCGGUGUCAAACAUUGCGAAUACCUCAAGGAUCAUCAUAUCUAUCCUUGAUAUGUUAUAGUUCAUCAUGAAGCUCUAGCAGCUUGGUGGCAAUGACUUUGGAGAAACAUCACUAUCUCAUCCGGAAGAUCAACUCCCACUCGAUUCAAGUGAUUGUUGCACUCAGACAAUCUGAGCACAAGCUCAACGAUUGAGCUUUUCUCCCUUAGUUUGCCGACUAAGAAAAUCGUCGGAGGUCUUAUACCUCUUGACGUGGGCACGAGCCUGAAAUCCCAAUUUCAUCCCUCGAAACAUCUCAUAUGUUCCGCGACGUUUCGAAAACGUCUUUGGUGCCUCAACUCUAAACCGUUUAAUUGAACUAUCACGUAGUUAUCAAAACGUGUAUGUCCGAUGUUCGCAACAUCCACAAACGAUGUUUGGGGUUUAGCACACUGAGCGGUGCAUUAAGGACAUGAGCUAUCUACUGUCCGCAUAAUCGCUAUUGUCGACUUUCAACUAUAUUUUCUCUAGGAACAAAAUAGUGGAACUAAAGCGCGAGCUUACAACAUAAUUUGCAAAGAUCUUUUGACUAUGUUCAGGAUAAUUAAGUUCAUCUUAUGAACUCCCACUCAGAUAGACAUCCCUCUAGUCAUCUAAGUGAUUACAUGAUCCGAGUCAACUAGGCCGUGUCCGAUCAUCACGUGAGACGGACUAGUCAUCAUCGGUGAACAUCUUCAUGUUGAUCGUAUCCACCAUACGACUCAUGCUCGACCUUUCGGUCUCUUGUGUUCCGAGGCCAUGUCUGUACAUGCUAGGCUCGUCAAGUCAACCUAAGUGUUUCAUGUGUGUAAAUCUGUCUUACACCCGUUGUAUGUGAACGUAAGAAUCUAUCACACUCGAUCAUCACGUGGUGCUUCGAAACGACAAACUUUCGCAACGGUGCACAGUUAGGGGGAACACUUUCUUGAAUUUUUUUAUGAGGGAUCAUCUUAUUUACUACCGUUGUUCUAAGCAAAUAAGAUGUAUAAACAUGAUAAACAUCACAUGCAAUCAAAUAGUGACAUGAUAUGGCCAAUAUCAUAUUGCUCCUUUUGAUCUCCAUCUUCGGGGCUCCAUGAUCAUCAUCGUCACCGGCAUGACACCAUGAUCUCCAUCAUCAUGAUCUCCAUCAUCGUGUCUUCAUGAAGUUGCCUCGCCAACUAUUACUUCUACUACUAUGGCUACCGGUUAGCAAUAAAGUAAAGUAAUUACAUGGCGUUGUAUAAUGACACGCAGGUCAUACAAUAAAUAAAGACAACUCCUAUGGCUCCUGCCGGUUGUCAUACUCAUCGACAUGCAAGUCGUGAUUCCUAUUACAAUAACAUGAUCAAUCUCAUACAUCACAUAUAUCAUUCAUCACAUUCUUUUGGCCAUAUCACAUCACAUAGCAUACCCUGCAAAAACAAGUUAGACGUCCUCUAAUUGUUGUUUGCAUGUUUUAUGUGGCUGCUAUGGGUUUCUAGCAAGAACGUUUCUUACCUACGCAAAAACCACAACAUGAUAUGUCAAUUGCUAUUUACCCUUCACAAGGACCCUUUUCAUCGAAUCCGUUCCGACUGAAGUGGGAGAGACUGGCACCCGCUAGCCACCUUAUGCACCACGUGCAUGUCAGUCGGUGGAACCUGUCUCACGUAAGAGUACGUGUAAGGUCGGUCCGGGCCGCUUCAUCCCACAAUACCAUCGAAACAAGAUUGGACUAGUAACGGUAAGCAUAUUGAACAAAAUCAACGCCCACAACUAUUUUGUGUUCUACUCGUGCAAAGAAUCUACGCAAUAGACCUAGCUCUGAUACCACUGUUGGGGAACGUAGCAGAAAUUCAAAAUUUUCCUACGUGUCACCAAGAUCUAUCUAUGGAGAAACCAGCAACGAGGGGAAGGAGAGUGCAUCUACAUACCCUUGUAGAUCGCUAAGCGGAAGCGUUCAAGAGAAUGGGGUUGAAGGAGUCGUACUCGUCGUGAUCCAAAUCACCGGAGAUCCUAGUGCCGAACGGACGGCACCUCCGCGUUCAACACACGUACAGCCCGGUGACGUCUCACACGCCUUGAUCCAGCAAGGAGAGAGGGAGAGAUUGACGAAGACUCCAUCCAGCAGCAGCACAACGGCGUGGUGGUGAUGGAGGAGCGUGGCAAUCCUGCAGGGCUUCGCCAAGCACCGCGGGAGAGGAGGAGGGAGAGAGGUAGGGCUGCGCCAAGGAGAGGUGAAACUCAUGUGUUGGCAGCCCCAAAACCCUCAAGUAUAUAUAGGGGAGAGGGAGGGGGGUGCGCCCCCUCUAGGGUUUCCACCCCAAGGGGUGCGGCUGCCCCAAUCCCAUCUAAGGGUGGCAGCCAAGGGGGGAGAGGGGGGAAACUUGCCCCCCAAGUUAGGUGGAAGCACCCCCUCCCCAAACCCUAGGCGCCUUGGGCCCUUGUGUGGGGACGCACCAGCCCACCUGGGGCUGGUCCCCUCCCACACUUGGCCCAUGCAACCCUCCGGGGCCGGUGGCCCCAAUUGGUGGACCCCCGGGACCCUCCCGGUGGUCCCGGUACGUUACCGAUAAAACCCGAAACUUUUCCGGUGACCAAAACAGGACUUCCCAUAUAUAAAUCUUUACCUGCGGACCAUUCCGGAACUCCUCGUGACAUCCGGGAUCUCAUCCGGGACUCCGAACAACAUUCGGUAACCACAUACAAACUUCCUUUAUAACCCUAGCAUCAUCGAACCUUAAGUGUGUAGACCCUACGGGUUCGGGAACCAUGCAGACAUGACCGAGACGUUCUCCGGUCAAUAACCAACAGCGGGAUCUGGAUACCCAUGUUGGCUCCCACAUGUUCCACGAUGAUCUCAUCGGAUGAACCACGAUGUCAAGGACUCGAUCGAUCCCGUAUACAAUUCCCUUUGUCUAGCGGUAUUGUACUUGCCCGAGAUUCGAUCGUCGGUAUCCGAUACCUUGUUCAAUCUCGUUACCGGCAAGUCUCUUUACUCGUUCCGUAACACAUCAUCCCGUGAUCAACCCCUUGGUCACAUUGUGCACAUUAUGAUGAUGUCCUACCGAGUGGGCCCAGAGAUACCUCUCCGUCACACGGAGUGACAAAUCCCAGUCUCGAUUCGUGCCAACCCAACAGACACUUUCGGAGAUACCUGUAGUGCACCUUUAUAGUCACCCAGUUACGUUGUGACGUUUGGUACACCCAAAGCAUUCCUACGGUAUCCGGGAGUUGCACAAUCUCAUGGUCUAAGGAAAAAAUACUUGACAUUAUAAAAGCUUUAGCAUACGAACUACACGAUCUUUGUGCUAGGCUUAGGAUUGGGUCUUGUCCAUCACAUCAUUCUCCUAAUUAUGUGAUCCCGUUAUCAAUGACAUCCAAUGUCCAUGGUCAGGAAACCGUAACCAUCUAUUGAUCAACGAGCUAGUCAACUAGAGGCUUACUAGGGACAUGGUGUUGUCUAUGUAUCCACACAUGUAUCUAAGUUUCCUAUCAAUACAAUUACAACAUGGAUAAUAAACGAUUAUCAUGAACAAAGAAAUAUAAUAAUAACUUAUUUAUUAUUGCCUCUAGGGCAUAUUUCCAACAUUAUAUUGAUUGCAUGUGAUGUUUAUCCGUUAUGCAUCUUAUCUUGCUUUAAUUGACGGUAGCAUUAUAAGAUGAUCUCUCACUAAAUUUCAAGAUAAAAGUGUUCUCCCUGAGUAUGCACCGUUGACAAAGUUCGUCGUGCCCAGACACCACGUGAUGAUCGGGUGUGAUAAGCUCUACGCCCAUCUACAACGGGUGCAAGCCAGUUUUGCACACGUGGAAUACUCAUGUUAAACUUGACGAGCCUAGCAUAUGCAGAUAUGGCCUCGAAACACUGAGACCGAAAGGUUGAGCAUGAAUCAUAUAGUAGAUAUGAUCAACAUAGUGAUGUUCACCAUUGAAAACUACUCCAUUUCAUGUGAUGAUCGGUUAUGGUUUAGUUGAUUUGGAUCACGUGAUCACUUAGCUAGAUGAUUAGAGGGAUGUCUAUCUAAGUGGGAGUUCUUAAGUAAUAUGAUUAAUUGAACUUAAAUUUAUCAUGAACUUAGUCCUGGUAGUAUUUUGCAAAUUAUGUUGUAGAUCAAUAGCUCGCGUUGUUGCUUUCAUAAGUUUAUUUUUGAUAUGUUCCUAGAGAAAACUGUGUUGAAAGAUGAUAGUAGCAAUGAUACGGACUAGGUCCAUGAUCUGAGGUGUAUCCUCAUUGCUGCACAGAAGAAUUAUGUCCUUGAUGCACCACUAGGUGACAGACCUAUCGCAGGAGCAGAUGCAUACGUUAUGAACAUUUGGCUAGCUCAAUAUGAUUACUACUUGAUAGUUAAGUGCACCAUGCUUAACAGCUUAGAAUCGGGACUUCAAAGACAUUUUGAACGUCAUGGACCAUAUGAGAUGUUCCAGGAGUUGAAGUUAAUAUUUCAAGCAAAUACCCGAGUUGAGAGAUAUGAAGUCUCCAACAAGUUCUAUAGCUAAAAGAUGGAGGAGAAUUGCUCAACUAGUGAGCAAGUGCUUAGAUUGUCUAAGUACUACAAUCGCUUGAAUCAAGUGGGAGUUAAUCUUCGAGAUAAGAUAGUGAUUGGCAGAGUUCUCUAGUCACCGUCACCAAGUUACUGGAACUUCGUGAUGAACUAUAAUGCAAGGGAUGACGAAAAUGAUUCCCGAGCUCUUCGUGAUGCUGAAAUCGACGAAGGUAAAAAUCAAGAAAAGAGCAUCGAGUGUUGAUGAUUGAUAAGACCACUAGUUUCAAGAAAAGGGCAAAGGAAAAUAAAGGUAACUUCAAGUAGAAUGGCAAGCAAGUGGUCACUCCCGUGAAGAAGCCCAAAGCUGGACCAAAGCCUGAAACUAAGCGCUUCUACUGCAAAGGAAAUGGUCACUAGAAGCGGAAAUGCCCUGAAUAUUUGGUGGAUAAGAAGGAUGGCAAAGUGAACAAGAGUAUACAGGUUAUUGAUGUGUACCUUACUAGUGUUUAUAGUAGCCCCUGAGUAUUUGAUACUUGUUCAGUUGCUAAGAUUAGUAACUCAAAACAGGAGUUACAGAAUAAACAGAGACUAGUUGAGGGUGAAGUAACGAUGUGUGUUGGAAGUGGUUCCAAGAUUGAUAUGAUCAUCAUCAUACACUCCCUAUAUUUUCGAGAUUAGUGUUGAACCUAAAUAAAUGUUAUUUGGUGUUUGCGUUGAGCAUAAAUAUGAUUAGAUCAUGUUUAUUGCGAUACGAUUAUUCAUCUAAGACAGAGAAUAAAUUGUUAUUCUGUUUACAUGAAUAAAACCUUCUAUGGUCAUACACCCAAUGUUGAUGGUUUAUUGAAUCUUGAUCAUGGUGAUACACAUAUUCAUAAUAUUGAUGCAAAAAAAUGCAAAGUUGAUAAUGACAGUGCAACAUAUUUGUGGCGCUGCCGUUUGGGUCAUAUCGGUGUAAAACGCAUGAAGAAACUCCAUGCUGAUGGACCUUUGGAAUCACUUGAUUAUGAAUCAUUUGAUUCUUGCGAACCGUGCCUUAUGGGCAAGAUGACUAAAACUCCGUUCUCCGGAACAAUGGAACGAGCUAGUGACUUAUUGGAAAUAAUACAUACCAAUGUAUCGGUCCAAUGAGUGUUGAUGUUCGUGGCGGGUAUUGUUAUUUUCUGACCUUCACAAGAUGAUUUGUGCAGAUAUGAGUAUAUCUACUUAAUGAAACACAAGUCUGAAACAUUUGAAAAGUUCAAAGAAUUUCAGAGUGAAGUGGAGAAUCAUCGUAACAAGAAAUAAAGUUUCUACGAUCUGGUCGUGGAGGAGAAUAUUUGAGUUACGAGUUUGGCCUUCAUAUAAAACAAUGUGGAAUAGUUUCACAGUUCACACCACCUGGAACACCACAGCAUUAUGGUGUGUCCGAACAUCGUAACCACACUUUAUUGGAUAUUGUGCGAUCUAUUAUGUCUCUUAUCGGUUUACCACUAUCGUUUUGGGGUUAUGCAUUAGAGACAGUUGCAAUUAAAAAGGGCACGAUCAAAAUCCGUUGAGACGACGCCUUAUGAACUGUGGUUUGGCAAGAAACCAAAGUUGUUGUUUCUUAAAGUUUGGGGAUGUGAUGCUUAUGUGAAAAAGUUUCAAUCUGAUAAGCUCCAACCCAAAUCGGAGAAAUGCGUCUUCAUAAAAUACCCAAAGGAAACUGUUGGGUACACCUUCUAUCACAGAUCCGAAGGCAAGUCAUUCAUUGCUAAGAAUGGAUCCUUUCUAGAGAAGGAGUUUCUCUCGAAAGAAGUGAGUGGGAGGAAAGUAGAGUUUGAUAAGGUAAUUGUACCUUCUCCCAAAUUGGAAAGUAGUUCAUCACAGAAAUCAGUUCCAGUGAUUCCUACACCAAUUAGUGAGGAAGCUAAUGAUGAUGAUCAUGAAACUUCAGAUUAAGUUACUACAGAACCUCGUAGGUCUUCCAAAGUACAGUCCACACCAGGGUGGUACGGUAAUCCUGUUCUGGAAGUCAUGUUACUAGACCAUGGUGAACCUACGAACUAUGAGGAAGCGAUGAUGAGCCCAGAUUCCGCAAAAUGGCUUGAGGCCAUGAAAUCUGAGAUGGGAUCCAUGUAUGAGAACAAAGUGUGGACUUUGGUGGAGUUGCCCGAUGAUCGGCAAGCCAUAUUGUAUAAAUGGAUCUUCAAGAGGAAGACAGACGCUGAUAGUAGUGUUACUAUCUACAAAGCUCGACUUGUCGCAAAAAAAGGUUUUUCGACAAGUUCAAGGUGUUGAAUACGAUGAGAUUUUCUCACUCGUAUCGAUGCUUAAGUCUGUCCAAACCAUGUUAGCAAUUGCCACAUUUUAUGAAAUCUGGCAAAUGGAUGACAAAACUGGAUUCCUUAAUGGAUUUAUUAAAGAAGAGUUGUAUAUGAUGCAACCAGAAGGUUUUGUCAAUCCUAAAGGUGCUAACAAAGUGUGCAAGCUCCAGUGAUCCAUCUAUGGACUGGUGCAAGCCUCUCGGAGUUGGAAUAAACGUUUUGAUAGUGUGAUAAAAGAAUAUGGUUUUAUAUAGACUUUUGGAGAAGCCUGUAUUUACAAGAAAGUGAGUGGGAGCUCUGUAGCAUUUCUAAAUACUAUAUGUAGAUGACAUAUUGUUGAUUGGAAAUGAUAUAGAAAUUCUGGAUAGCAUAAAAGGAUACUUGAAUAAGAUUUUUUCAAAGAAAGACCUCGGUAAAGCUGCUUACACAUUGAGCAUCAAGAUCUAUAGAGAUAGAUCAAGACGCUUGAUAAGAUUUUUUCAAUGAGUACAUGCCGUGAUAAGAUUUUGAAGUAGUUCAAAUGGAACAGUCAAAGAAGGAGUUCUUUCCUGUGUUGCAAGGUGUGAAGUUGAGUAAGACUCAAAACCCGACCAUGGCAGAAAAUAGAAAGAGAAUAAAAAGUCAUUCCCUAUGCCUCAGUCAUAGGUUCUAUAUAGUAUGCUAUGCUGUGUACCAGACCUAUUGUAUACCUUGCUCUGAGUUUGGCAAGGGAGUACAAUUUUUGAUCUAGGAGUAGACCACUGGACAUCGGUCAAGAAUAUCCUUAGUAAGGACUAAGGAAAUAUUUCUCGAUUAUGGAGGUGAUAAAAGAGUUCGUCGUAAAAAAUUACAUUGAUGCAAGCUUUUACACUGAUGGAGAUGACUCUAAGUCUCAAUCUGGAUACAUAUUGAAAGUGGGAGCAAUUAUCUAGAGUAGCUCCAUGCAGAGCAUUGUAGACAUAGAAUAUUUGCAAAAUACAUACGGCUCUGAAUGUGACAGACCCGUUGACUAAACUUCUCUCACGAGCAAAACAUGAUCAUACCUUAGUACUCUUUGGGUGUUAAUCACAUAGCGAUGUGAACUAAAUUAUUUACUCUAGUAAACCCUUUGGGUGUUGGUCACAUGACGAUGUGAACUAUGGAUGUUAAUCACAUACAUAUGUGAAUAUUGGUGUUAAAUCACAUGAUGAUGUGAACUACAUUAUUGACUCUAGUGCAAGUGCGAGACUGAAGGUAAUAUGCCCUAGAGGCAAUAAUAAAGUUAUUGUUUAUUUCCUUAUUUCAUGAUAAAUGUUUAUUAUUAAUGCUAGAAUUGUAUUAACCGGAAACUUAGUACAUGUGUGAAUACAUAGACAAACAUAAUGUCACUAGUAUGCCUCUACUUGACUAGCUCGUUGAAUCAAAGAUGGUUAAGUUUCCUAGCCAUAGACACGAGUUGUCAUUUGAUUAACGGGAUCAUAUCAUUGGAGAAUGAUGUGAUUGACUUGACCCAUUCCGUUAGCUUAGCACUUGAUCAUUUAGUAUGUUGCUAUUGCUUUCUUCAUGACUUAUACAUGUUCCUAUGACUAUGAGAUUGUAACGCCCCGGAUUCGAUGCGCCAGGUGUCUGUCAGUUAUUCGCUGUCGUUGCCAUGUCAUUUUCUUGCGUGUUGCAUAUUGCCAUGUCAUCAUGUGCAUUUCAUUUUGCAUACGUGUUCGUCUCAUGCAUCCGAGCAUUUUCCUCGUUGUCCGUUUUGCAAUCCGGCACUCUUAUGUCCUCCGGCGUCCUCCUUUUGUCUCCUGUUGUGAGUGGGUGUUAAACUUUCUCGGAAUGGCCCGAGGUUUGCCAAGCGGCUUCGGUUUAGCACCGGUAGACCGCCUGUCAAGUUUCGCGCCAUUUGGAGGUCGUUUGUUACUCCAACGGUUAACCAGAUAAUCGUAAAAGCCUCUUUUGUCUUGCAGCCCAACACCCCUCCAAAGUGGCCCAAAACCCAUCCAAACCCCCUCCAUGCUCUCAGUCGUUCGAUCACGAUCGUGUGGGUGGAAACCUCUCCUCAUUUGGACUCUCCUAGCUCCCUCUACCUAUAAAAAGGCCUCUCUCCCCGAAUUUUUCGGGCAAACCCUAGAUCAACCUCCCUCUCACCCGCCGGACAUGUCCGCCCGCCGCCGGACACGUCCAGCGCCGCCGUCCUCGAUGAAUCCGCCGCCGCCAUUGUCGCCCGCGCCUCCUCUCUCUCCUCCCCGCCGCCGCGGCCGCGAGGCCCACGGCCGGCCCNNNNNNNNNNNNNNNNNNNNNNNNNNNNNNNNNNNNNNNNNNNNNNNNNNNNNNNNNNNNNNNNNNNNNNNNNNNNNNNNNNNNNNNNNNNNNNNNNNNNNNNNNNNNNNNNNNNNNNNNNNNNNNNNNNNNNNNNNNNNNNNNNNNNNNNNNNNNNNNNNNNNNNNNNNNNNNNNNNNNNNNNNNNNNNNNNNNNNNNNNNNNNNNNNNNNNNNNNNNNNNNNNNNNNNNNNNNNNNNNNNNNNNNNNNNNNNNNNNNNNNNNNNNNNNNNNNNNNNNNNNNNNNNNNNNNNNNNNNNNNNNNNNNNNNNNNNNNNNNNNNNNNNNNNNNNNNNNNNNNNNNNNNNNNNNNNNNNNNNNNNNNNNNNNNNNNNNNNNNNNNNNNNNNNNNNNNNNNNNNNNNNNNNNNNNNNNNNNNNNNNNNNNNNNNNNNNNNNNNNNNNNNNNNNNNNNNNNNNNNNNNNNNNNNNNNNNNNNNNNNNNNNNNNNNNNNNNNNNNNNNNNNNNNNNNNNNNNNNNNNNNNNNNNNNNNNNNNNNNNNNNNNNNNNNNNNNNNNNNNNNNNNNNNNNNNNNNNNNNNCCGACCGCUCCCGCCGCCGGCCGGAUCCGGCCGGAUUCGGUCCGGGGCCAUCUCCCCGCGCCGCCCGCGACCUCCCCCAUCAACUCCGGCGAAGAUGCCGGCAGACCUCGGUUCGCGCGCCGCCCAGAUCCAGAAACGGAGGUUGACCCUGAAUUUUGACUAAGUCCCUGAUUUUUUUCAUCAUUUUGGUGCCCGCUUUGACCUGUCAUAUCUCCGUGCAUAUAGCUCCGUUGUGCAUGCAUAAUAUAUCAAAAUGUUCAUCAUGAGAUGCUCUACAUUUCAUUCCAUUGUACCAUGUUUGUUUGAGUUCAUCUUGAUGCCUGAAUCAUCGUUGCAAGAGUGCUAUAUGAUGUUAUUCUGCUAAAACUAUUAUAACUUGGUGAUUUGUCAUUUUUGUUGCAUUUGAUGUGUGCAUCCUAUGAGCAUGAGGUCUACAUAUGUUUUGAACUACAUCAUGCCAUCUUUAUAGGGGUGCUUGCCAUGUAUUUUUGUGAGUCUUGUACUGAGUGCAUCAAGCUUGUGAAGUAGGGUACUUGCUGUUACUGUUUUGCUAGGCUGAAUCUGUUAUUUCGUGAUGCUAUGUAAACGUGCUGCUACAAGUCAUUCUGUGCAUAAUCUGGAUAUGUUCACUAAGGAUGUUUUGUUCUACAUGUUAUGCUCUAUCUAUCCAUGCCCCUGGUUGCAUUUAUAGCCUGCUGUAGCUUGUUUUAAGCUUGCUCUAAAUUUGCUAAGUAAUGUUGCUGUCAGCCUGUUAACAUGAAGUUCAGUUUUGCCAUGUGUUUUGCUAGUGAUCCAUGCACCCUAUGAACUUUUUCUUGCCAUGCUUAGCUUCACAAACAUGUCUUCUUACUGUUGGUUGCCUUUCCAUGCCAUGUAUUGCUCUGUGGUGAGUGGUACAAGCUCAUCAACAUGCCUACUUAUUGUUGUUCCUGCCAUGUAUGAAUCUGUCAUAUAACUUGCCAUGUUUACAUGGGUGCCAUCAUAUCUUCUGAUCCUUUUUGGCUCUUGGUCAGUAAAGGACUUUUGUUCUAUGAAUUUAGUAGAUUCAUGCCAUGCCUUUGGUUGCCAUGUUAAGUUCCUGUAACAUGUUGUUUGAUAGCUCUAAACAUUGCAACCUGAUGUUAUUUCUGCAAAGUCUGAAACUGUUAUUAUUUGCAAUCUUGCCAUGUGUGUUUGAGCAUGUUCUAGUGAUUUCUGGAGAUAGCUCAGUGUUCAUGGUUUGUUAUGCUUUACCUGUACAUCAUGUCCACGCCUUUUGUGUUUAUGUUAAGGUACUGUAGCAUGUUGUUUUGAUGCUUGCAAUGUGCCUAGUUGCUGUUUUGGACAGCUUGUCCUUUAAACUUGUUCCAUGUGCGUGUGUUGAACCGUUGCUCCGUUUUGAGUGUGCUCUAUAUGAAACUUGCUUGAUUUUGCAUGUAGCUUUAUAUUAUCAUGUUGCAUCCUUAUUUUGAGGUGUUUUCUUGAUGUUUGUAUGCAUUUUGCAUCAAUGCCAUGUUUAGCUUGUUUUGCUCAUAUCUUCUAGGCCGUAACUCCGAACUAAAUGAACUUUAUAUGUAACUUGACUAGAAUCUCGUGUAGAUCAUCUUGGUGCAUCUUAACUUGCUGUUUAACAACUUGAACAUAAGGUUUAUUCAGAUCUGGACCAAUUUCGAAACUUGCACAUGAGGACUUACCGGAAUUGUUAUAUGUUGUUUCCGGCCUCAUUUAAACUUGCUUUAAUGUGUUGCUCUUGUAUGCAUCAUCUCUUGCCAUGAGUAGCUUCAUGUAGUCUUGUUUUGCAUCAUGCUUGUUGUGCAUCAUGUCUUGCUCAUGUGUGGUGUGUUUACCAUGUUGUGUGAUUCUUCUCGAUAGUUCCUGUUUCAUUGCGAUCAUGAGGAUUCGUUCGUCUACGCUUGGUUCAUCUUCAUGGCUUCAUCUUCUUCAUGGACUCGUUCUUCUUCCUUGCGGGAUUUCAGGCAAGAUGACCGCUACCCUGGAUCUCACUACUAUCAUUGCUAUGCUAGUUGCUUCGUUCUAUCGCUAUGUUGCGCUACCUAUCACCUGUUUAUCAAGCCUCCCAAAUUGCCAUGUCAUCCUCUAACCUUUUCACCCUUCCUUGUGAACCAUUGCUUGGCUAUGUUACCGCUUUUGCUCAGCCCCUCUUAUAGCGUUGUUAGUUGUAGGUGAAGUUGAAGAUUGCCCCAUGGUGGACAGGUUUAUGUUGGGAUAUCACAAUAUCUCUUAUUUAAUUAAUGCAUCUAUAUACUUGGUAAAGGGUGGAAGACUCGGCCUUAUGCCUGGUGUUUUGUUCUACUCUUGCCGCCCUAGUUUCCGUCAUACCGGUGUUAUGUUCCUGAAUUUUGCGUUCCUUACGCGGUUGGGUGAUUUAUGGGACCUCCUUGAUAGUUCGCUUUGAAUAAAACUCCUCCAGCAAGGCCCAACCUUGGUUUUACCAUUUGCCUCACCACCACCUAUACCUUUCCCUUGGGUCGGCCAACCCGAGGGUCAUCUUUAUUUUAGCCCCCCCCCCGGGCCAAUGCUUGUCUAAGUGUUGGUCCGAACCAGAGCCCUUUGCAACGCCCCCUCAGGGAAACUUGAGGUCUGGUUUUAGUUGUAUGGAUUGCUCAUCCGGUGUUGCCCUGAGAACGAGAUAUGUGCAGCUCCUAUCGGGAUUGUCGGCGCAUCGGGCGGUUUUGCUGGUCUUGUUUUACCAUUGUCGAAAUGUCUUGUAAACCGGGAUUCCGAGUCUGAUCGGGUCUUCCUGGGAGAAGGUAUAUCCUUCGUUGAUCGCAAGAGCUUAUCAUGGGCUAAGUUGGGACACCCCUGCAGGGUUUAAACUUUCGAAAGCCGUGCCCGCGGUUAUGGGCAGAUGGGAAUUUGUUAAUGUUGGAAAUAUGCCCUAGAGGCAAUAAUAAAAGGAUUAUUAUUAUAUUUCCUUGUUCAUGAUAAUUGUCUUUUAUUCAUGCUAUAAUUGUGUUAUCCGGAAAUCGUAAUACAUGUGUGAAUACAUAGACCACAACAUGUCCCUAGUAAGCCUCUAGUUGACUAGCUCGUUGAUCAACUGAUAGUCAUGGUUUCCUGACUAUGGACAUUGGAUGUCGUUGAUAACGGGAUCACAUCAUUAGGAGAAUGAUGUGAUGGACAAGACCCAAUCCUAAGCAUAGCACAAGAUCGUGUAGUUUGUUUGCUAGAGCUUUUCCAAUGUCAAGUAUCUUUUCCUUAGACCAUGAGAUCGUGUAACUCCCGGAUACCGUAGGAAUGCUUUGGGUGUACCAAACGUCACAACGUAACUAGGUGACUAUAAAGGUAUACUACGGGUAUCUCCGAAAGUGUCUGUUGGGUUGACACGGAUCAAGACUGGAUUUGUCACUCCGUAUGACGAAGAGGUAUCUCUGGGCCCACUCGGUAAUGCAUCAUCAUAAUGAGCUCAAAGUGACCAAGUGUCUGGUCACGGGAUCAUGCAUUACGGUAAGAGUAAAGUGACUUGCCGGUAACGAGAUUGAACGAGGUAUUGGGAUACCGACGAUCGAAUCUCGGGCAAGUAACAUACCGAUUGACAAAGGGAAUUGUAUACGGGGUUGCUUGAAUCCUCGACAUCGUGGUUCAUCCGAUGAGAUCAUCGAGGAGCAUGUGGGAGCCAACAUGGGUAUCCAGAUCCCGAUGUUGGUUAUUGACCGGAGAGCCGUCUCGGUCAUGUCUACGUGUCUCCCGAACCUGUAGGGUCUACACACUUAAGGUUAGGUGACGCUAGGGUUGUAGAGAUAUCAGUAAGCAGCAAACCGAAAGUUGUUUGGAGUCCCGGAUGAGAUCUCGGACGUCACGAGGAGUUCCGGAAUGGUCCGGAGGUAAAGAAUUAUAUAUGGGAAGUCGAGUUUCGGCCAUCGGGAAAGUUUCGGGGGUCACCGGUAUUGUACCGGGACCACCGGAAGGGUCCCGGGUCCACCGGGUGGGGCCACCUGUCCCAGAGGGCCCCAUGGGCUGAAGUGGGAGGGGAACCAGCCCCUGGUGGGCUGGUGCGCCCCCCCUGCCCCCCUGCGCCUAGGGUUGGGAACCCUAGGGGAGGGGGCGCCUCCACUUGCCUUGUUGGGCAAGUUUCCCCCCUUGGCCGCCGCCCCCCUAGGAGAUCCCAUCUCCUAGGGCCGGCGCCCCCUAGGGUCCUUAUAUAAAGAGGGGGGAGGGAGGGCAGCCGCACUUUUGCACUUGGCACAUCCCUUCCCCCUUUGCUACACCUCUCCCUUACGCAGACGCUUGGCAAAGCCCUGCCGGAUCCCUGCUGCAUCCACCACCACGCCAUCGUGCUGCUGGAUCUUCAUCAACCUCUCCUUCCCCCUUGCUGGAUCAAGAAGGAGGAGACAUCACGCUGACCAUACGUGUGUUGAACGCGGAGGUGCCGUCCGUUCGGUGCUAGGAUCUCCGGUGAUUUGGAUCACGACGAGUACGACUCCAUCAACCCCGUUCUCUUGAACGCUUCCGCUCGCGAUCUACAAGGGUAUGUAGAUGCACCCCUCUCUCUCGUUGCUAGAUGAACUCAUAGAUUGAUCUUGGUGAACGUAGGAAUUUUUUUAUUUUAUGCCACGUUCCCCAACAGUGGCAUCAUGAGCUAGGUCUAUGCGUAGUUCUCUUUGCACGAGUAGAACACAAAUCUGUUGUGGGCGUAGAUGUUGUCAACUUUCUUGCCACUACUAGUCUUAUUUUUCUUCAGCGGUAUUGUGGGAUGAAGCGGCCCGGACCGACCUUACACGUACGCUUACGUGAGGCAGGUUCCACCGACUGACAUGCACUAGUUGCAUAAGGUGGCUAGCGGGUGUCUGUCUCUCCCACUUUAGUUGGAGCGGAUUCGAUGAAAAGGGUCCUUAUGAAGGGUAAAUAGAAGUUGACAAAUCAUGUUGUGGCUUUUUCGUAGGUAAUAAAACGUUCUUGCUAGAACCCUAUUGCAGCCACAUAAAAGAUGCAACAACAAUUAGAGCACGUCUAACUUGUUUUUCCAGCAAUUGCUUUGUGAUGUGAUAUGGCCAAAAGUUGUGAUGAAUGAUGAAUGAUAUAUUGUGAUGUAUGCAAUCAUGUUCUUGUAAUACGAAUCACGACUUGCAUGUCGAUGAGUAUGAAAACCGACAGGAGCCAUAGGAGUUGUCUUAAUUAUUGUAUGACCUGCGUGUCAAUGAUUUAACCCCAUGUAAUUACUUUACUUUAUUGCUAAACCGUUAGCCAUAGUAGUAGAAGUAAUAGUUGGCGAGCAACUUCAUGGAGACACGAUGAUGGAGAUCAUGGUGUCAUGCCGGUGACGAAGAUGAUCAUGGAGCCCCGAAGAUGGAGAUCAAAGGAGCUAUAUGAUAUUGGCCAUAUCAUGUCACUACUAUUUUAUUGCAUGUGAUGUUUAUUAUGUUUAUGCAUCUUGUUUACUUAGAACGACGGUAGUAAAUAAGAUGAUCCCUCAUAAUAAUUUCAAGAAAGUGUUCCCCCUAACUGUGCGCCGUUGCGACAGUUCGUUGUUUCGAAGCACCACGUGAUGAUCAGGUGUGAUAGAUUCUAACGUUCACAUACAACGGGUGUAAGACAGAUUUACACAAGCAAAACACUUAGGUUACCUUGACGAGCCUAGCAUGUACAGACAUGGCCUCGGAACACAAAGACUGAAAGGUCGAAUAUGAGUCGUAUGGAAGAUACGAUCAACAUGGAGAUGUUCACCGAUGAUGACUAGUCCGUCUCACGUGAUGAUCGGACACGGCCUAGUCGACUCGGAUCAUGUAACACUUAGAUGACUAGAGGAAUGUCUAAUCUGAGUGGGAGUUCAUUAAAUAAUUUGAUUAGAUGAACUUAAUUAUCAUGAACUUAGUCUAAAAUCUUUGCAAAAAUGUCUUGUAGAUCAAAUGGCCAACGCUCAUGUCAACAUGAACUUCAACGCGUUCCUAGAGAAAACCAAGCUGAAAGAUGAUGGCAGCAACUAUACGGACUGGGUGCGGAACCUGAGGAUCAUCCUCAUAGCUGCCAAGAAAGCAUAUGUCCUAGAAGGACCGCUAGGUGAAGCACCCAUCCCAGAGAACUAAGACGUUAUGAAUGCUUGGUAGUCACGUGUUGAUGAUUACUCCCUCGUUCAGUGCGGCAUGCUUUACAGCCUAGAACCGGGGCUCCAAAAGCAUUUUGAGCAACACGGAGCAUAUGAGAUGUUCGAGGAGCUGAAAAUGGUUUUCCAAGCUCAUGCCCGGGUCGAGAGAGAUGAAGUCUCCGACAAGUUCUAUAGUUGUAAGAUGGAGGAAAAUAGUUCUGUCAGUGAGCACAUACUCAAAAUGUUUGGGUUGCACAACCGCCUGUCCCAGCUGGACAUUAACCUCCCGGAUGAGGCAGUCAUUGACAGAAUCCUUCAGUCGCUCCCACCGAGCUACAAGAGCUUCGUGAUGAACUACAAUAUGCAGGGGAUGGUGAAGACUAUUCCUGAAGUAUUUUCAAUGCUGAAGUCAGCAGAGGUAGAAAUCAAAAAGGAACAUCAAGUGUUGAUGGUCAAUAAAACCACUAAGUUCAAGAAAGGCAAGGCUAAGAAGAACUUCAAGAAGGACGGCAAGGAUGUUGCCGCGCCCGGUAAGCCAGUUGCCGGGAAGAAGUCAAAGAAUGGACCCAAGCCUGAGAGUGAGUGCUUUUAUUGCAAAGGGAAGGGUCACUGGAAGCGGAACUGCCCCAAAUACUUAGCGGACAAGAAGGCCGGCAACACUAAAGGUAUAUGUGAUAUACAUGUAAUUGAUGUGUACCUUACCAGUGCUCGUAGUAGCUCCUUUGUAUUUGAUACCGGUGCCGUUGCUCAUAUUUGUAACUCAAAGCAGGAGCUGCGGAAUGAGCGGAGGCUGGCGAAGGACGAGGUGACGAUGCGCGUCGGGAAUGGUUCCAAGGUCGAUGUGAUCGCCGUCGGCAUGCUACCUCUACAUUUACCUACAGGAUUAGUUUUAAACCUCAAUAAUUGUUAUUUAGUGCCAAGUUUGAGCAUGAACAUUGUAUCUGGAUCUCGUUUAAUACGAGAUGGCCACUCAUUUAAAUCCGAGAAUAAUGGUUGUUCUAUUUAUAUGAGAGAUAUGUUUUAUGGUCAUGCCCCGAUGGUCAAUGGUUUAUUCUUAAUGAAUCUCGAACGUGAUGUUACACAUAUUCAUAGUUUGAAUACCAGAAGAUAUAAAGUUGAUAAUGAUAGUCCCACAUACUUGUGGCACUGCCGCCUUGGUCACAUUGGUGUCAAGCGCAUGAACAAGCUCCAUGCUAAAGGACUUUUAGAGUCUCUCAAUUAUGAAUCAUUUGACACAUGCGAACCAUGCCUCAUGGGCAAAAUGACCAAGACUCCGUUCUCUGGAACAAUGGAGCGAGCAACCAACUUGUUGGAAAUCAUACAUACUAAUUUGUGCGGUCCAAUGAGCGUUGAGGCUCGCGGUGGCUAUCGUUAUGUUCUCACCCUCACUGAUGACUUAAGUAGAUAUGGGUAUGUUUACUUGAUGGAACACAAGUCUGAGACCUUUGAAAGGUUCAAGGAAUUUCAGAAUGAGGUAGAGAAUCAACGUGACCGAAAGAUAAAGUUCCUGCGAUCAGAUCGUGGAGGAGAAUAUUUAAGUCACGAAUUUGGUACACACUUAAGGAAAUGUGGAAUCGUUUCACAACUCACUCCGCCUGGAACACCUCAGCGUAACGGUGUGUCCGAACGUUGUAAUCGCACUCUAUUGGAUAUGGUGCGAUCUAUGAUGUCUCUUACCGAUUUACCGCUAUCAUUUUGUGGAUACGCUCUAGAGACAGCUACAUUCACUUUAAAUAGGGCUCCGUCUAAAUCCGUUGAGACGACACCGUAUGAAUUAUGGUUUGGGAAGAAACCUAAGCUGUCAUUUCUAAAAGUUUGGGGAUGCGAUGCUUAUGUCAAGAAACUUCAACCUGAAAAGCUCGAACCCAAGUCGGAAAAAUGCGUCUUCAUAGGAUACCACAAGGAAACCAUUGGGUAUACCUUCUACCUUAGAUCCGAAGGCAAGAUCUUUGUUGCCAAGAACGGAUCCUUUCUGGAGAAAGAGUUUCUCUCGAAAGGAGUAAGUGGGAGGAAAGUAGAACUUGAUGAAGUACUACCUCUUGAACCGGAAAGUAGUGCAGCUCAGGAAAAUGUUCCUGUGGUGCCUACACCGACUGGAGAGGAAAUUAAUGAUGAUGAUCAAGGUACUUCAGAUCAAGUUGCUACUGAACUUCGUAGGUCCACAAGGACAUGUUCCACACUUGAGUGGUAUGGCAACCCUGUCCUGGAAAUCAUGUUGUUAGACAACGGUGAACCUUCGAACUAUGAAGAAGCGAUGGAGGGCCCAGAUUCCAACAAAUGGCUUGAAGCCAUGCAAUCCGAGAUAGAAUCCAUGUAUGAAAACAAAGUAUGGACUUUGACAGACUUGCCCGAUGACUGGCGAGCGAUAGAAAACAAAUGGAUCUUUAAGAAGAAGACGGACGCGGAUGGUAAUGUUACCAUCUAUAAAGCUCGACUUGUCGCUAAGGGUUAUCGACAAGUUCAAGGGGUUGACUACGAUGAGACUUUCUCUCCCGUAGCAAAGCUAAAGUCUGUCCAAAUCAUGUUAGCAAUUGCCGCAUACUAUGAUUAUGAGAUAUGGAAGAUGGACGUCAAAACGACAUUCCUUAACGGCUAUCUUAAGGAAGAGAUGUAUAUGAUGCAGCCGGAAGGUUUUGUCAAUCGUAAGAAUGCUAACAAAGUGUGCAAGCUCCAGCGAUCCAUUUAUGGGCUGGUGCAAGCAUCUCGGAGUUGGAACAUUCGCUUUGAUGAGAUCAUCAAAGCGUUUGGGUUUAUGCAGACUUAUGGAGAAGCCUGCGUUUACAAGAAAGUGAGUGGGAGCUCUUUAGCAUUUCUCAUAUUAUAUGUAGAUGACAUACUUUUGAUGGGAAAUGAUAUAGAACUUUUGGACAGCAUUAAAGCCUACUUGAAUAAGUGUUUUUCAAUGAAGGACCUUGGAGAAGCUGCUUACAUAUUAAGCAUUAAGAUCUAUAGGGAUAGAUCGAGACGCCUCAUAGGUCUUUCACAAAGCACAUACCUUGAUAAGAUAUUGAAGAAGUGCAAUAUGGAUCAGUCCAAGAAAGGGUUCUUGCCUGUAUUGCAAGGUGUGAGAUUGAGCUCGACUCAAUGCCCGACCAUGACAGAAGAUAAAGAAGAGAUGAGUGUCAUCCCCAAUGCCUCAUCCAUAGGAUCUAUUAUGUAUGCCAUGAUGUGUACUAGACCAGAUGUAAACCUUGCCGUAAGUUCGGUAGGAAGGUACCAAAGUAAUCCCGGCAAGGAACACUGGACAGCAGUCAAGAAUAUCCUGAAGUACCUGAAAAGGACAAAGGACAUGUUUGUCGUUUAUGGAGGUGACGAAGAGCUCAUCGUAAAGGGUUACGUCGAUGCUAGCUUCGACACAGAUCUGGAUGACUCUAAGUCACAAACCAGAUACGUGUAUAUGUUGAAUCGUGGAGCAGUAAGCUGGUGCAGUGGCAAGCAGAGCGUCGUGGCGGGAUCUACAUGUGAAGCGGAGUACAUGGCAGCCUUGGAGGCAGCGCAUGAAGCAAUAUGGAUGAAGGAGUUCAUCACCGACCUAGGAGUCAUACCCAAUGCGCCGGGGCCGAUCACUCUCUUCUAUGACAACACUGGAGCCAUUGCCCUUGCCAAGGAUCCCAGGUUUCACAAGAAGGCCAGGCACAUCAAGCGUCAUUUCAACUCCAUCCGUGAAAAUGUUCAAGAUGGAGACAUAGAUAUUUGCAAAGUACAUACGGAUCUGAAUGUCACAGAUCCGUUGACUAAACCUCUUCCGCGAGCAAAACAUGAUCAACACCAGAACUCUAUGGGUGUUCGAUUCAUCACAAUGUAACUAGAUUAUUGACUCUAGUGCAUGUGGGAGACUGUUGGAAAUAUGCCCUAGAGGCAAUAAUAAAAGGAUUAUUAUUAUAUUUCCUUGUUCAUGAUAAUUGUCUUUUAUUCAUGCUAUAAUUGUGUUAUCCGGAAAUCGUAAUACAUGUGUGAAUACAUAGACCACAACAGGUCCCUAGUAAGCCUCUAGUCGACUAGCUCAUUGAUCAACUGAUAGUCAUGGUUUCCUGACUAUGGACAUUGGAUGUCGUUGAUAACGGGAUCACAUCAUUAGGAGAAUGAUGUGAUGGACAAGACCCAAUCCUAAGCAUAGCACAAGAUCGUGUAGUUCGUUUGCUAGAGCUUUUCCAAUGUCAAGUAUCUUUUCCUUAGACCAUGAGAUCGUGUAACUCCCGGAUAUCGUAGGAAUGUUUUGGGUGUACCAAACGUCACAACGUAACCGGGUGACUAUAAGGUAUACUACGGGUAUCUCCGAAAGUGUCUGUUGGGUUGACAUGGAUCGAGACUGGGAUUUGUCACUCCGUAUGACGGAGAGGUAUCUCUGGGCCCACUCGGUAAUGCAUCAUCAUAAUGAGCUCAAAGUGACCAAGUGUCUGGUCACGGGAUCAUGCAUUACGGUACGAGUAAAGUGACUUGCCGGUAACGAGAUUGAAUGAGGUAUUGGGAUACCGAUGAUCGAAUCUCGGGCAAGUAACAUACCGAUUGACAAAGGGAAUUGUAUACGGGGUUGCUUGAAUCCUCGACAUCGUGGUUCAUCCGAUGAGAUCAUCGACGAUCAUGUGGGAGCCAACAUGGGUAUCCAGAUCCCGCUAUUGGUUAUUGACCGGAGAGCCGUCUCGGUCAUGUCUACGUGUCUCCCAAACCCGUAGGGUCUACACACUUAAGGUUAGGUGACGCUAGGGUUGUAGAGAUAUAAGUAUGCAGCAAACCUAAAGUUGUUCGGAGUCCCGGAUGAGAUCCCGGACGUCACGAGGAGUUCCGGAAUGGUCCGGAGGUAAAGAAUUAUAUAUGGGAAGUCGAGUUUCGGCCAUCGGGAAAGUUUCGGGGGUCACCGAUAUUGUACCGGGACCACCGGGUGGGGCCACCUGUCUCGGAGGGCCCCAUGGGCUGAAGUGGGAGGGGAACCAGCCCCUGGUGGGCUGGUGCGCCCCCUUGGGCCCCCCUGCGCCUAGGGUUGGGAACCCUAGGGGAGGGGGCGCCUCCACUUGCCUUGGGGGGCAAGUUUCCCCCCUUGGCCGCCCCCCCCCUAGGAGAUCCCAUCUCCUAGGGCCGGUGCCCCCCCUGGGGUACCUAUAUAAAGAGGGGGAGGGAGGGCAGCCGCACUUUUGCACUUGGCGCCUCCCUUCCCCCUUUGCUACACCUCUCCCUUCCGCAGACGCUUGUCGAAGCCUUGUCGGAUCCCUGCUGCAUCCACCACCACGCCGUCGUGCUGCUGGAUCUUCAUUAACCUCUCCUUCCCCCUUGAUGGAUAAAGAAGGAGGAGACGUCACCAUGACCGUACGUGUGUUGAACGCGGAGGUGCCGUCCGUUCGGCGCUAGGUUCUCCGGUGAUUUGGAUCACGACGAGUACGACUCCCUCAACCCUGUUCUCUUGAACGCUUCCGCUCGCGAUCUACAAGGGUAUGUAGAUGCACCCCUCUCUCUCGUUGCUAGAUGAACUCAUAGAUUGAUCUUGGUGAACGUAGGAAAUUUUUUAUUUUAUGCAAAGUUCCCCAACAGUUAAUGUCCGGUUGUAGAUAACUUGACACCAAAUUCGAAUUAAAACGCAUCAUCCGUGUGUGUAGCCGUGAUGGUCACUUUUCGGAGGAGUCCGGGAAGUGAACAUGGUUUUGGGUUAUGUUUGACGUAAGUAGGAGUUCAGGAUCACUUCUUGAUCAUUGCUAGCUUCACGACCAUUCCGCUUGCUCUCUUCUCGCUCUUAUUUGCGUAUGUUAGCCACCAUAUAUGCUUAGUCGCUGCUGCAACCUCACCACUUUACCCCUUCCUUUCCAUUAAGCUUUGCUAGUCUUGAUACCCAUGGUUAUGGGAUUGCUGAGUCCUCGUGGCUCAUAGAUUACUACAACAACAGUUGCAGGUACAGGUUAUGCGAUGAUCAUGACGCGAGAGCGAUGUUACUUGUUUCGGAGUUCUUCUUCUGCUUCUUCUUCGAUCAGGGGAUAGGUUCUAGGUCGGCAGCCUGGGCUAGCAGGGUGGAUGUCGUUUGAGUUUCUGUUUGUGUUUCAUCCGUAGUCGGAUGGUGCUCUUAUGUAAGAUGAUGUUGUAUUCGUGUGGCAUUGUAUGCCUCUUGUAUGUAUCCCCAUCUAUUUAUGUAAUGUUGAUGUAAUGAUAUCCACCUUGCAAAAGCGUUUCAAUAUGUAGUUCUAUCCUUGUUGGGACUUUCGAGUCUCUUUAGGAUAGUAUUGCAUAUUGGGCGUGACAAGUUGGUAUCAGAGCCUCGACCGACCUUAGGAGCCCUUUUGAUUGAUCGUGUAGUUUGGCCGUUGUUGAGUCUAGAAGAAAAACUGUUUUCGGAGUCUAGUUAUAUCGAAGAGUAGGAAUUCUUUUUACUCCUCUGCCUCUUCGUCGCUCUAGUGAGGAAUCUUGAUGUAGGUGUUUUGAAUUACUCCUCUUCCCCUUCAAAUUUUUCUUUAGGUUCACGCAGUUGGUUUUCCGGUCGUUGGUUCUCUUAUCUUUUCAUCCGGUGCAUUUCUCGUCAAGUGACUCAAGCCUCUUCAUCUUUGAGUUCAAUCCUCAGUUGUUUUCUUUUCCCGCCCUCCCACCCCUUUUCUUCUGGGAACCGGAGUCCAUAAUCGAGUAUGCUUCCUACUCGUGUGAAGUCCUUGCCUUCUUUCCUCAAGGAUUUCAACCGGUGCUUUGUCUUCAAGUUAUUCCUCGGUUUCCCCUUCCAAGUUACCUUUGUUUUACCCGCCCUCCCACCCUCUUCUUCCCGGAGCCUGAGUCUGUUUCGAGCAUCAAUGUCACUCGUGUGGAGCCUCUUCAACAAUCCUUUCCAACGGUGUUUUCUUCUAGUGGGCCCUAACCCACAGGUCUUUUUCCAGGAUCUUACCUGACUCUUAUAAUUUCCCGGAGUUAUUCUUAAAUUCUUUUCAAGUGUGACAUAAGAAUGGAUUCCAUCAGUCACAUGCCUUUCAAGAUCGAUUUCAAAUCAUUUUCAUUGUUGGCUCAACCUUUUCGGUUUUCACUCUCCCGGAGUAUCUCAGUAAUUUUGGUAGUGUUUCCGUCGUCAUUUGAAGAUCGAAGAAGAGUUUUCAUAUCAUCCUGUCGAAUUAUUUCAGUUUGUCAGAUAUUCUUUCUUACCCAUCCGGAGUGUGUCAGGAGUUGUUUGUCCAUUUAUUUUCACCGGAGGCCAUCGUUCCAAAAGAAUUCUUCAUCCUCAGAUUUCAGCUACCGUUAUCCAAUUAUCCCGGUGCUCCGUUCAAAUGUUCUUUAAUAAGCUCAUGAUCUCCUUGUUCUUUUGCAUCUAAAUCCCCUCUAACAUAUUUGUUCUUCCAAGUCUUCCCGGUGAUUCGUUCUCUUCCAUCAGUCAUUUUUGAAUUUUUACGGUGGUUCUUUCCAAUCCUACCGGUGGUUCAUGAAGACUUUCUCAAGUUUUGCGGCAUGUUCCCCUUAAUCAUUUGCAAUAAGUAUAAGUAGUAUGCAAAAUCCAACUUGUAAUCAAUUUAAUUUGAUGAAGGGUAAGCAUACAAUAAAUCUUAUUCUUAUUUCAUCCAAGUGAGUAAUCUCUCCCUUCGGAGUUUGUUCGUGAGGAAUAAAUUCUAGUUCCAAGUGUUUUCAUCUUUUCUUUUCCCGGAGUUCAAUUUUCCUCAGCCAUUUCGUCGGAACCUCCAACUAAAUCAUCGCAAGGCUCAUCUUAUUCUUUCUACCUUCAUUCUAUCUCAUCAUCUUUUUGUCACCGGAGUUCUCCAUGGUGGUUCAUCAUGAUUUAUUUCAUUCUUCAAGUGUUCAUCAAGAUUCUUGUAGGCUAAGCUCAAGUAUUCUUCUUCUUGCUUUGCGAGGUGCAUUUAAUUCUCCGUAACUUUUGAAAUGGAGUUUUGCAUUUCUUCUUUCUUCCCAGGUAUUUAAUCUUUUCCGUUUGUGGCCAGUUAUCACCUUAUGAUCUUGAGAUGUUACCUAUAAGACCACAACAAGCUUAUUCUUUCGUUGUUGAAUUUCUCAACAACUCCGUUUAAACCUUCCGUCUAAAGAUGCUUUCUAUUUCAUUCGUGGCACAAGAUGUCAUUUUCUUCUCCGUUCAUUUCAUUCCAUUCUUUCAAUUCUUCCGGAGGCAUUAAGUCGCUUAUGUCGUCAAGUGUCAUUCCAUCUUGUGAAGUUCGUGUUCUAUUCCUCCAUGUUUCAGCCGGAGUGGUGCAUAAAUCCUUUCAGUCUUAUUCGUUUCUUAUCUCGUUCUAACCGGAGUUGUUUCAUAGUCUAUCUGAUUCAGUGAGCUUUCGAUUCUCGUCAUUCUCGUUGUUCCUCUCUUCUUCUCGAGUGCUCUCGAUCUUUGCCUCUUCUCUUGAGUUCUUGUUUCACCUCAUCCCUUUUCCCUUCCGUCUCGGUCCUAAGAUCUCUGGACGAGAUCUCUUGUUAGUGGAGGAGUGUUGUAACGCCCUGGAUUCGAUGCGCCAGGUGUCUGCCAGUUAUUCGCUGUCGUUUCCAUGUCCAGGGCCGGUCCUGAGAUUUCGGGGGCCCGGGGCGAACUAAAAAUUGAGGGGCCCUAAUAUACAAGCCAUUAUUAUUAUUAUUAUUAUUAUUAUUAUUAUUAUUAUUAGUAGUAGUAGUAGUAGUAGUAGUAGUAGUAGUAGUAGUAGUAGUAGUAGUAGUAGUAACAAUUAAAUCCAAAAUCUGUAUGUGUAUCCAAAAAAAUAUACAUAAUACCUUAAAAUUUUCUUCUAACAUUCCUCGAUGCAAAGUCACUUAUGAUGGGGUCGAUGUCAAUCUCAUCCAAUAAUUUCUUCUCGAUGCAUAAUGUGGCCAAACCAUUUAAUCUCUCUUGAGUCAUGGUUGACCUCAAAUAAUUCUUCAAUAAUUUCAACUUUGAAAAGCUUCUCUCGGCCGAUGCGACCGUCACAGGCACAGUAAAUAAGAUGCGAUAGGCAAUGGAUAUAUUGGGGUAACAAUCAACUUCUCUGACAUGCCUGAAAAUCUCCAUAGCAGACAUUGCGCCAUCUGGCAAAGUGAAUCUCAUAAUCUUCAAUUCAGAAAUAAGAUCGUAUACCUCAACAUCAGAUGAACCAUUAAGAGAGAAAGUUUCUGCAAAUUUUGUGCAACAUUCUUCAAGUUCAUUGUCACUUAAUGACGUGAGAGUGCCCGAGCUCAAUAAAAAUCCGAAUAUAUCUUUAAAGACCAUGAUAUCUUUAAAUCUAUCAUUCAAAGAAGUGAUCGCCAUAUCAACCAAAACAUUUAAAUAUUUAACUUGGAAAGCCUUCUCAGCUUCCAAGAUUUCUUCUUGACAAUCACUUUCAUCAUACUGUUUCUUCCUCUUAGCAUGACGUUUCACUGGAAACAAUGGCUCUAUUCCCAUUUCAGUUGCAAUACCUUUAGCGAUGGUCAGACUUGAAGAAAACCCCUCAUCUCUGUACUUCUCAAAAUAUUUUGUUAUACCUUUUAUUUGCUUCAAAGCGGAGUCAAUGCACAUGGUUGACGAUUGCAACAUCUUGCUAACUUUAUUUACAGCAAAUAGAACAUCAUGCCAGAUAAUCAUACCAACUAUAAACUCAAAGCGACCAAGUGCAUCAAAUAAAUUUUUGGCAUCACUUUUAUCUUUAGGAUCAGUGUCAGAAGCAUGACGUAACUCAGACAAAGCUGACCUUAACUCAGCGGCUUGAUAUCUUAUUGCUGUAACACUUUUGAUUCUACUCUCCCAACGAGUAUUGGACAAUGAUUUCACGGUCAAACUAGGAACAUGUUUAAGCAAAACAUUCCACCUUUUUGUAGAGCCAGCAAAUAAUACAUAUAUGCGUUGAACAAUUCCAAAAAAUGAAACAGCUUUCUCACAUGAUUUUGCCAUAUCACAGAGAGUGAGAUUUAGGCUAUGACAAGCACAUGGCAUAUAUAAUGCUCUUGGAUUCAUAUCAAGUAACCUAGAUUGUACACCUCGGUAUUUUCCUUUCAUAUUAGAACCGUUAUCAUAUCCUUGACCCCUUAUAUCUUGAAUAUUUAGGCCAAAAGACUCAACAGAAUCAAGCAGUACUUUGAAAAUCCCUAAGCCAGAAGUGUCAUCCACUUUCAAGAACCCCAGAAAGUACUCCUCAAUUUUUAUUUUGCCAUCAGACAGAUUAACACAUCGAACUAAAAAGGUCAUUUGUUCUUGAUGACUAACAUCAGGGGUACAAUCUAGGAUAACAGAGAAAUACUUGGCCUCUUUAACAACCUUUAUGAUAGAACAUGUGAUGUCAGAAGCCAAAAGAGAUAUCAGCUCAUUUUGUAUUUUAUGACUGAGAUAGUGAUAAUGGGUUUCCUUGUUCUCAACAUGUCUAAGGUGAUCUUGCAUUACCAUAUCAAAUUCUGCAAUCAUCUCAAUGCAAGCUAAGAAAUUACCAUUAUCAUCCUUGUAAAGUUGCUCACUACUUCCACGAAAAGCCAAGUUGCGUUUACCAAGAUAUUUCACAACUGCUAUUAUUCUUAACAGAACUUGCCUGGCACGUUCUUUCUCCUUUGUUAUUUGAUGUUGCAAAUCCUUAUCAAUAGUUUCCUGUUUUCUCAGUCUAACUCUCAAUUCAUUCCACUUGUUCAUGUUAUUAAUAUGCUCAAUGCUAUUUUCAUGUUCUUUGAGCUUCUCACUAAUAUGCCUCCAAUGUCCUAGUCCAUCAUGUGCUAAGGAACUCUGACUCCUGUUGGUGCUAGACUUGAAGAUCUUACAACAGAAACAAAAAACUUUAUUGACAUUUUUUGAAUAAACUAGCCAUUUCCUAUCAUGUUCCUCUCCAUUGCUUAAUUUUCUAUGAUAAUGAGCAUACGAAAAAUGUCUUCCUGUUUCAUCUACAUGGUAUUCCAUUUUUUCCUCUCUGAUAGGCCCUUUCUCAACUAAGAUAUCUCUUGCUUUAUUAUCAAGAUUAUCCCAGUUUUUUGGAUCAUAAAUAUCGGCAGUAUAAACUGGUUGUUCAUCAACACUAGCAGAUUGGGCAUGUGCAUCCGACGAAUUACUUACAUUCUCGGAGCCACUUACAUUGUCAUCGCCGAUGUUGGAGUUGAUAUUUUCUUCUUGCUGAUUAGAGUCCGAGUUUUCAUUUGUUUGUUGCUCUUCCACAAUGGCAACAAUCGCCAACGCAUCAGCUGGGUCCGGCGGAGUAAUACAGGCACCAAUAUCACCUGGCAUGAAAAAAUUGCGAAUACCUCCGCGCUGUGACUUUAUAAGUUUAUUCUCUUUCUCCUUUUUUUUCCUUUUGUGGCUACCCGAUGGAUAGUUCCUCUUGCUGGGCGCCAUGAGAACAAACACAAUGCUGAAAAAAUAAUAUUGAAUCAAUUGUUGAACGGUGCUAGCUGUAAACCAAAGUCCAAAGAAUUUUUUGUAUGAAUAAUAUACCUCAAUACCUAAUGUCCAGAAUCCUGACGAUCAAACUUCAGUAGUCUGUACCUGUCUAGAGUCUGCAGAUUGUCGAGAGGAGAGCAAUUGAGAAAAGACCAAAGGAGGGUGAAGCAGGCACUGGGGUGAAGAUGGAGGCCCCAGAACUGAAAACAACGACCAACAUAAUCAAAUUAGAAAGGAAAUUACCAGGGGACGGCGAGGUCGGAGUGCGUCUAUGCGUGCACGGCGUCGGCGGCCAGCAGGUAGGGGCGUAGGGCUAGGACCUGGGAACUCUUCGUGAUGGAAGAAAGGCGUCGAACGUAACAGGAAGGGAAUCACGUCCAGGCGCUGAUUGCUCUCUAAUUCGCUAUCUUUCUUUUUUUUCCAGAGGAUCUCUCGCUGUUUCCUGGGAACGAUCUCGCGAUCGCUGGCCGCUGGGAUCGGACNNNNNNNNNNNNNNNNNNNNNNNNNNNNNNNNNNNNNNNNNNNNNNNNNNNNNNNNNNNNNNNNNNNNNNNNNNNNNNNNNNNNNNNNNNNNNNNNNNNNNNNNNNNNNNNNNNNNNNNNNNNNNNNNNNNNNNNNNNNNNNNNNNNNNNNNNNNNNNNNNUGGUUUUUGGGGGCCCGGGGCGGCCGCCCCCCUGCCCCCCCAAGGGUCGGCCCUGUCCAUGUCAUUUGCUUGCGUGUUGCAUUGUCAUCAUGUGCAUUUCAUUUUGCAUACGUGUUCGUCUCAUGGAUCCGAUCAUUUUCCCCGUUGUCCGUUUUGCAAUCCGGCACUCCUAUGUCCUCCGGUGUCCUCCUUUUGUCUCCUAUUACGAGUGGGUGCUAAACUUUCUCGGAAUGGCCCGAGGUUUGCCAAGAGGCCUUGGUUUAGCACCGGUAGACCGCCCGUCAAGUUUCGCGCCAUUUGGAGGUCGUUUGAUACUCCAACGGUUAACCGGGUAACCGUGAAAGCCUCUUUUGUCUUGCAGCCCAACACCCCUCCAAAGUGGCCCAAAACCCAUCCAAACCCCCUCCAUGCUAUCGGUCGUUCGAUCACGAUCGUGUGGGCGAAAACCGCUCCUCAUUUGGACUCUCCUAGCUCCCUCUACCUAUAAAAAGGCCUCUCUCCCCGAAUUUUUCAGGCAAACCCUAGAUCAACCUCCCUCUCACCCACCGGACAUGUCCACCCGCCGCCGGACAUGUCCAGCGCCGCCGUCCUCGACGAAUCCGCCGCCGCCACGUGUCGCCCGCGCCUCCUNNNNNNNNNNNNNNNNNNNNNNNNNNNNNNNNNNNNNNNNNNNNNNNNNNNNNNNNNNNNNNNNNNNNNNNNNNNNNNNNNNNNNNNNNNNNNNNNNNNNNNNNNNNNNNNNNNNNNNNNNNNNNNNNNNNNNNNNNNNNNNNNNNNNNNNNNNNNNNNNNNNNNNNNNNNNNNNNNNNNNNNNNNNNNNNNNNNNNNNNNNNNNNNNNNNNNNNNNNNNNNNNNNNNNNNNNNNNNNNNNNNNNNNNNNNNNNNNNNNNNNNNNNNNNNNNNNNNNNNNNNNNNNNNNNNNNNNNNNNNNNNNNNNNNNNNNNNNNNNNNNNNNNNNNNNNNNNNNNNNNNNNNNNNNNNNNNNNNNNNNNNNNNNNNNNNNNNNNNNNNNNNNNNNNNNNNNNNNNNNNNNNNNNNNNNNNNNNNNNNNNNNNNNNNNNNNNNNNNNNNNNNNNNNNNNNNNNNNNNNNNNNNNNNNNNNNNNNNNNNNNNNNNNNNNNNNNNNNNNNNNNNNNNNNNNNNNNNNNNNNNNNNNNNNNNNNNNNNNNNNNNNNNNNNNNNNNNNNNNNNNNNNNNNNNNNNNNNNNNNNNNNNNNNNNNNNNNNNNNNNNNNNNNNNNNNNNNNNNNNNNNNNNNNNNNNNNNNNNNNNNNNNNNNNNNNNNNNNNNNNNNNNNNNNNNNNNNNNNNNNNNNNNNNNNNNNNNNNNNNNNNNNNNNNNNNNNNNNNNNNNNNNNNNNNNNNNNNNNNNNNNNNNNNNNNNNNNNNNNNNNNNNNNNNNNNNNNNNNNNNNNNNNNNNNNNNNNNNNNNNNNNNNNNNNNNNNNNNNNNNNNNNNNNNNNNNNNNNNNNNNNNNNNNNNNNNNNNNNNNNNNNNNNNNNNNNNNNNNNNNNNAUCCGGUCCGGGGCCAUCUCCCCGCGCCGCCCGCGACCUCCCCCGUCAACUCCGGCGAAGAUGCCGGCAGACCUCGGUUCGCGCGCCGCCCAAAUCCAGAAACGGAGGUUGACCCCGAAUUUUGACUAAGUCUCUGAUUUUUUUAGCAUUUUGGUGCCCGCUUUGACCUGUCAUAUCUCCGUGCAUAUAGCUCCGUUUUGCGUGCAUAAUAUAUCAAAAUGUUCAUCAUGAGAUGCUCUACAUUGCAUUACAUUGUUCCAUGUUUGUUUGAGUUUAUCUUGAUGCCUGAAUCAUCAUUGCAAGAGUGCUAUAUGAUGUUAUUCUGCUGAAACUGUUAUAACUUGGUGAUUUGUCAGUUUUGUUGCAUUUGAUGUGUGCAUCCUAUGAGCAUGAGCUCUACAUGUGUUUUCAACUACAUCAUGCCAUCUUUACAGGGGUGCUUGCCAUGUAUUUUUGUGAGUCUUGGACUGAGUGCAUCAAGCUUGUUAAGUAGGGUACUUGCUGUUACUGUUUUGCUAGGCUGAAUCUGUUAUUUCGUGAUGCUAUGUAAACCUGCUGCUACAAGUCAUUCUGUGCAUAAUCUGGAUAUGUUCACUAAGGAUGUUUUGUUCUACAUGUUAUGCUCUAUCUAUCCAUGCCCCUGGUUGCAUUUAUAGCCUUCUGUAGCUUGUUGUAAUCUUGCUCUCAAUUUGCUAAAUAAUAUUGCUGUCAGCCUGUUAACAUGAAGUUCAGUUUUGCCAUGUGUUUUGCUAGUAAUCCAUGCACCCUAUGAACUUGUUCUUGCCAUGCUUAGCUUUAAAAACAUGUCUUCUUACUGUUGGUUGCCUUGCCAUUCCAUGUACUGCUCUGUGGUGAGUGGUACAAGCUCAUCAACAUGUCUACUUAUUGUUGUUCCUGCCAUGUAUGAAACUGUCAUAUAACUUGCCAUGUUUACAUGGGUGCCAUCAUAUCUUCUGAUCCUUUUUGGCUCAUGGUCAGUAAAGGACUUUUGUUCUAUGAAUUUGGUAGAUUUUGCCAUGCCUUUGUUUGCCAUGUUAAGUUCCUGUAACAUGUUUGAUAGCUCUAAACAUUGCAACCUGAUGUUAUUUCUGCAAAGUCUGAAACUAUUAUUAUUUGCAAUCUUGCCAUGUGUGUUUGAGCAUGUUCUAGUGAUUUCUGGAGAUAGCUCAGUGUUUAUGUUUUGUUAUGCUUUACCUGUACAUCAUGUCAAUCCAUUUUGUGUUUAUGUUAAGGUACUGUAGCAUGUUGUUUUGAUGCUUGCAAUGUGCCUAGUUGCUGAUUUGGACAACUUGUCCUUUAAACUUGUUCCAUGUGCGUGUGUUGAACCGUUGCUCCGUUUUGUGUGUGCUCUAUAUGAAACUUGCUUGAUUUUGCAUGUAGCUUCAUAUUAUCAUGUUGCAUCCUUGUUUUGAGGUGUUUUGUUGAUGUUUGUAUGCAUUUUGCAUCAAUGCCAUGUUUAACUUGUUUUGCUCAUAUCUUCUAGGCCGUAGCUCCGAACUAAAUGAACUUUAUAUGUAACUUGACUAGAAUCUCGUGUAGAUCAUCUUGGUGCAUCUUAACUUGCUGUUUAAAAACUUGAACAUAAGGUUUAUACAGAUCUGGACCAAUUUCAAAACUUGCACAUGAGGACUUACCGGAAUUGUUAUAUGUUGUUUCCGGCCUCAUUUAAACUUGCUUUGAUGUGUUGCUCUUGUAUGCAUCAUCUCUUGCCAUGAGUAGCUUCAUGUAGUCUUGUUUUGCAUCAUGUUUGUUGUGCAUCAUGUCUUGUUCAUGUGUGGUGUGUUUACCAUGUUGUGUGCUUCUUCUCGAUAGUUCCUGUUUCGUUGCGACCGUGAGGAUUCGUUCAUCUACGCUUGGUUCGUCUUCAUGGCUUCAUCUUCUUCAUGGACUCGUUCUUCUUCCUUGCGGGAUUGCAGGCAAGAUGACCGCUACCCUGGAUCUCACUACUAUCAUUGCUAUGCUAGUUGCUUCGUUCUAUCGCUAUGCUGCGCUACCUAUCACCUGUUUAUCAAGCCUCCCAAAUUGCCAUGUCAGCCUCUAACCUUUUCACCCUUCCUAGCGAACCAUUGCUUGGCUAUGUUACCGCUUUUGCUCAGCCCCUCUUAUAGCAUUGUUAGUUGCAGGUGAAGUUGAAGAUUGCCCCAUGGUGGACAGGUUUAUGUUGGGAUAUCACAAUAUCUCUUAUUUAAUUAAUGCAUCUAUAUACUUGGUAAAGGGUGGAAGACUCGGCCUUAUGCCUGGUGUUUUGUUCCACUCUUGCCGCCCUAGUUUCCGUCAUACCGGUGUUAUGUUCCCAGAUUUUGCGUUCCUCACGCGGUUGGGUGAUUUAUGGGACCCCUUUGACAGUUCGCUUUGAAUAAAACUCCUCCAGCAAGGCCCAACCUUGGUUUUACCAUUUGCCUCACCACCACCUAUACCUUUCCCUUGGGUUGGCCAACCCGAGGGUCAUCUUUAUUUUACCCCCCCGGGCCAAUGCUUGUCUAAGUGUUGGUCCGAACCAGAGCCCUUUGCAGCGCCUCCUCAGGGAAACUUGAGAUCUGGUUUUAGUUGUACGGAUUGCUCAUCCGGUGUUGCCCUGAGAACGAGAUAUGUGCAGCUCCUAUCGGGAUUGUCGGCGCAUCGGACGGUUUUGCUGGUCUUGUUUUACCAUUGUCGAAAUGUCUUGUAAACCGGGAUUUCGAGUCUGAUCGGGUCUUCCUGGGAGAAGGUAUAUCCUUCGUUGAUCGCGAGAGCUUAUCAUGGGCUAAGUUGGGACACCCCUGCAGGGUUUAAACUUUCGAAAGUCGUGCCCGCGGUUAUGGGCAGAUGGGAAUUUGUUAAUGUCCGGUUGUAGAUAACUUGACACCAGAUCCGAACUAAAACGCAUCAUCCGUGUGUGUAGCCGUGAUGGUCUCUUUUCGGCGGAGUCCGGGAAGUGAACACGGUUUUGGGUUAUGUUUGACGUAAGUAGGAGUUCAGGAUCACUUCUUGAUCAUUGCUAGCUUCACGACCGUUCCGCUUGCUCUCUUCUCGCUCUUAUUUGCGUAUGUUAGCCACCAUAUAUGCUUAGUCGCUGCUGCAACCUCACCACUUUACCCCUUCCUUUCCAUUAAGCUUUGCUAGUCUUGAUACCCAUGGUUAUGGGAUUGCUGAGUCCUCAUGGCUCACAGAUUACUACAACAACAGUUGCAGGUACAGGUUAUGCGAUGAUCAUGACGCGAGAGCGAUGUUACUUGUUUUGGAGUUCUUCUUCUGCUUCUUCUUCGAUCAGGGGAUAGGUUCCAGGUCGGCAGCCUGGGCUAGCAGGGUGGAUGUCGUUUGAGUUUCUGUUUGUGUUUCAUUCGUAGUCGGAUGGUGCUCUUAUAGUCUUCUUCUUAUUCUUCUUCUUUUCCAAAAUUCUUCUUAUUCUUCUUCUAGUGUUCUUCUUCUUCUAGUAUUCUUUUUCUUCUAGUAUUCUUCUAGUCUUCUUCUUUUUCUUCUUCUAACUUCUUGUUUAUCAUUUUGCAGAUUUGAUUUAAUUCACGGAAGCUUGCAUGGGUGGAUUGCUUCUUUUCCAUUUGUAUUUUUAUUUUGUAUCAAUGUGAAACUUUUGUGAAUUGAUGGAUAACGGUGUUGGAUGAACAAUGUGAAACUUUUGUAAUAUGUAACAAUGGAACUAUGUGUUGGCUAUGUAUGUAUAUAUGAUGGAACUUGUGUGUUGGCUAUGUAUGUAUAUAUGAUGGAACUUGUGUGUUGGCUAUGUAUGUAUAUAUGAUGGAACUUGUGUGUUGGCUAUGAUUGUUAUAUGGAUGCUUGUUAUAUAUAUAUGUGUUGGAUAUAUCAUAGGUGAAAUAGUAAGCUGAGAUUAAGAAAAUUGUUACUAAUGGCGCACUACCAUGUGGUGCGCCAUUAGUAUAGAAGACACUAGUGGCGCACUGUGGGCAAAACUAAUGACGCACUGCAUGGUGCGCCAUUAGUAUACCAGAUACUAAUGGCGCAUUAGUGGUGCGCCAUUAGUAAAAAAUACUAAUGGCGUGAUACUAAUGGCGCACCGGUAGUGCGCCAUUAGUAGGCAAAACCGGUGCACCAUUAGUAGGCCUUUUCCUAAUAGUGUACGGAUAUAUCAAGUAUUAUAUACAUCUGUAUCUAGAUAAAUCUAACUAUCUAAGAUAAGAAUUUUGGAACGGAAGGAAGUAUAAAGUAGUGAUCUAAACGUUCUUAUAUUAGUUUUCGGAUGGAGUACCAGUAUUAGCCACGAAUCAACUUAGGCAGAAAGCUGUACAACUCGUACCCAAACAAGACUCAUCAGCUCUAUGAGUUUCUACCGAGUGCAACUCAGACACAGCGAGCAGUGACUCAUAGCGGCGUAAGAAAAUCCUUACUUUUAGUAAGAAUCUAUCAGUCCUAGUUCUAACCGAUCCCUUAUCUAUCGUAAGGUAGUAAAAUUUUACUCCUCUCUCCAAUCUUCUGCCUAAAUUUACUCCACCGAUUGGCGGCUGAGUAAAAGCCGAGCCGCUUCCUCGCGUCGCUCCCCGCACCUACACUUUCGCCGACGCGACUCCCGAUGAUCCCCAGCCGGCCCCGCCACUACGUUGUUGCCUCCCCAGCCCUCCGCCGCCCUUCUGCCCGACGUCCAGCCCUUUCGGCCGCCGUUCCGGUCGCUGUAAUCAGGUGAACCGCCGCCACUAUCCCCAUUGUUGUUCAUUCGUCGGAUUGCUUCUUUUCGUCUUAUUUUUCUGUCGGCCGCCGCAUCCCAUGUUGAUUGCACACCGCCGUAGGUCAUUCCCUCUUGUCGUUGCCGGCCUGUUUAGUCAGAACGACACCGGCCGGCCGGUGCACCACCACCGCACCCCAAGUGUUCGACGAAUUUGCUAGGUGAGUUUUUUGAUCAUUUCUUUGUGAAACGAGCCAUUUGAUUGAACCAGGCCGUUUGAAUUGUAGAUGAAGAAGUUGAGGGAGAUGGCUUUGGAGGACUCAUCAUCAUCCGAACAGGAAGAAGACGACGAUGACUUUGACAUUGUUUUAGGCAUGAUUUUCAAUGAUGAUAUUCGGCGGCCGAGGAGAGGAUCACAGCUUUGCCACAUACACAUCAACUGUGAUAGAGUGGAGGGUCAUGCAAAGACCAUGAGAGACUACUUGGCAUUUCUUGAGGAGUAUCGCAAGAUCGAGAACCGUCAAGCUCAUUCUCAGCUCCAACAAGAUCUUGUUGAGUAUCACUGGUAGUGUCUUAGUGAGUCCUAGUUGUUCUAUCACAUGCUACUUAGAAGCUUUUACUCCAUCGGAUAAUCCAUUAUUUUUAGGGGAACGGUUAGAAAUGCCCUUAGAAGAUUUACUUUGUGUACGUGCAGCACCACAAAUAUUGUGUUCAUAUCUUCUUAACAAAGCAUCAGAACAUGUUAGCGCUUGCUAUGAUUGUGGACACUACAAAUAUUAGUGCAGGGAGAUCAGGCGAACAGUAGUUGCAGAAGCGGCGAACCGAGAGGCCGGAAUGACCGCCCCAUCAAAGAGGCUCUGCACAUAUGACCUGUUGAUGCAACGUGCGUCCGGGACCGCAACUCAUCCCAGUGCUAUCUUCUAUCACCGCGGACAUCGCGCCAUGAGUCGUGGCAGCUAUCAUCGCGCCAUGAGUCGUGGCAGCUAUCAUUCCAGCCAUGAACUGGGACCAAUGAAAUGCUUAUAUAUAUCCCUUGCCCGCGGGCAGAGCAGUUGAGUGCUCUGUUUUUUUGUGAGAGGUGUGUUGUGCUCUAGAUCACCUCCUAUGCACAUGAGGUAUUCGUUGAAAUGCCCGAGCCAUACUUAAGCUUUCUCCUCUCGAAGCUCCUUGUCCAAACUCCAUUUUCCUCAAAAUUUGUCUAGGUUUGGCGGUCUGUCCCACUACAAAAAAAGACACAUCCGUGACACUUUGGGCCAAACGAUUUUUUUUCCUGACAUACUUAUGACACUUCUAUGGCAAUAAUUCUGACAAAACCCAGUAUCAUCAUAUAUGUGGUGGGCUCCUACUUCUAUGACAAAAAAUCAUGACAUAAAAUGGGUUUUUCGUCCUGGGCGGGCCGGAGACGCAGCUGCAUGACAUUCUUUAGGCCGUCCAUAACGGAAAAAACCGUGGUAGAAGCGAUGGCGAGGAAAAUAUCGGGGAGUUCCCGGUUACGUUGGGUGGUCGGAGGCGAGCGAUGCGCGUUUCUCUCGUACCGUACGCGCGUGGGUGCGAGGCGUUGGUCUCUAACUGAACACGAGCGGGGCGUUGAGCUCUAACUGAACCCGAGCGAUUGCACUGCAGGCUACGCGUUACUGAACCCGAGCGAUCGAGCGAUNNNNNNNNNNNNNNNNNNNNNNNNNNNNNNNNNNNNNNNNNNNNNNNNNNNNNNNNNNNNNNNNNNNNNNNNNNNNNNNNNNNNNNNNNNNNNNNNNNNNNNNNNNNNNNNNNNNNNNNNNNNNNNNNNNNNNNNNNNNNNNNNNNNNNNNNNNNNNNNNNNNNNNNNNNNNNNNNNNNNNNNNNNNNNNNNNNNNNNNNNNNNNNNNNNNNNNNNNNNNNNNNNNNNNNNNNNNNNNNNNNNNNNNNNNNNNNNNNNNNNNNNNNNNNNNNNNNNNNNNNNNNNNNNNNNNNNNNNNNNNNNNNNNNNNNNNNNNNNNNNNNNNNNNNNNNNNNNNNNNNNNNNNNNNNNNNNNNNNNNNNNNNNNNNNNNNNNNNNNNNNNNNGUUGCUGGGGGUUUGCAUGAACAGUUCCCGGUGGGGGUGGAUGAAUAGGACGCCGUGUUGUUGCCUCUGGAUAAACAGGACCCCAAUCGAUCGAGCCGGUUGGGGCUGGAUGAACAGGACCCCCUGGAGGACUGGAUGAAUAGGAUGUCCCCGUGGAGGGCUGGAUGAACAGUAGCCGGUGGAGGGCUCGAUAAACAGUAGCCCGUGGAGGGGUGGUUGAACAGGACCCCGUGGAGAGGGCUGGUUGAACAGUAGCCGGUGGAGUAGCGCGCGAUGGAGCCUGGAUGAACAGGAACCCGUGGAUGAACAGUCGCAGGUGGAGGCUGGAGGAGGUCGAGGUGGUUGAACAGUAGCCCGUGGAGGCUAGAGGAGGUCGAUGAUCGAGAUGAACAGUAUCCCGUGGAGUCCCGUUUUGCGGUACGCCACACCCCUUCCGAUGAACAGGACCCCCGUUUCGACCGUAGCGCUCAAAAACAAGUCCGUUUCCUCCGUUUUGCAUUACGCCACACCCCUCCCAAUCAACAGGACCCUGUUUCGACCGUAAGAGGUCCAACAGAAGUCCGUUUCCUCUGUUUUGCGAUAUGCCAGACCCCUCCCGAUGAACAGGAUCCCGUUUCGAACGUGGCCGGCCGAACACAAGGACGUUUGCUCCGUUCUGCGGUACGCCAGGCCUCGUUUUCAUCGGCUGUUCCGUCCAAGCCGGUUGGCUCCCACGCGUUCCGUUGCCUCCUGAUGAACACAACGCAUUCCGUUGCCUCCCCAUGAACACAACGACGACGCAGUUUCUCCGUUUCGACCCAGCCACGUACACGAGCCUUGGCCGUACGUAUGCGUGAGUAGGCGUUCGAAACCCCGCCCGUAUGUACGUACGUGGCCGUAUUUACUUUCUUGUACCCUGGCCGCUGUACGUACGUGUACAUGCUAAAUGCGCGCCUCUACUACGACACGUACGCACCUCUACAUCGACCAGUAUGUACGUACACGUUCGCGACCAGAAUGACAACGCUACGUACGCUUCGACUAGGUGGGUCCCGACUGUCAGGCAAUUCCUUGCGUGCGAAGAUGUAGCUGGUGGGUCCCAGCAGUCAGGGGGGCGAAUAAAUUUUUUUGCCCGUAAUAUGCACGAGCUUCCUUGCGUGCGAAGAUGUAGCUGGUGGGUCCCAGCAGUCAAGGGGGCGAAUCAUUUUUUUCCCGUAAUAUGGACGCACUUCCUUGCGUGCAAAGAUGUAGCUGGUGGGUCCCAGUAGUCAGGGGGGAAACGUUUUUUCGCGGAAUAGGUGGCCCGUCCGGUGGGUCCCUGCUGUCAGGUGGAGGAAUAAUUAUUUUGCGCGUAAUAAGAAGGCACUUCCUUGCGGUCGCCGUGGACCCAGCUGUAAGCCUCUCCACGUACAGUACUCUUCUGAUGGAAGUCGUUCCUUGACCAUGUUGACCACGCCGCGCCGGGAGCACCAGGGCGGUGGAUGACGACGAGGCCUUGGAAGGGGACGACGCUGAGCCGGGGAAGACACGACAGUGGAAGCUCGCUCGGAGAGGAGUACGAGGGUUCACUGGUUCGGCUGCGGUGUGAGGCUUCCGAUGACUCUCGUUUGUUGACCACAUUGACCACACUGUGCCGAGCGCACCAAGGCCGGUGGACGAUGGAGAGGCCCCAGACUAGAACGACCCAAAGAUGGGAAAGACACGGCAGUGGAAUCGCAGAUGAAGAGGAGUGUGAAACUUGACUGGUUUGGGUGCGCGGCAGCACUGCCAUCCACGGGAGACAGGAGCAAGAACAGAGGUUGAAGAAGGAGCACGGCUGUUGGAUUAACAUCCAACAGUCCAGCUGCUAGAAUCAUUUGUUGAUUAAGUUGAUAAAGCCCAGCAUACAUGUCUGCUUAGUAGGCCCACAAGUCAGCCACCAAAUCUGCCGGGUCCCAGCUGUCAUCGGGAGGAAUAGUUUUUUUUUGCAUAACAAGGAGGCACCUCCUUCCGUGCGAAGAUACAACCGGCGGGUCCCAGCUGUCAGGGGGAGGGAACAGCUUAACAAGGAGGAACUUUCCUUACGUGCGACCAUGGACCUCAUGUGUCCCACCCAUCAGGCUCUCACGUACAGUCCUCUUCCGAUGACUCUCGUUUGUUGACCACGCCGCGCCGAGCGCAGCGAGGCGGUGGAUGACGGCGAGGCCCCAGACUGGAACGACCCGGAGAUGGGGAAGACGCGGCAGUGGAGUCGCAGACGGAGAGGAGUGGGAAACUUGACUGGUUCAGGUGAGGGGUGGGCAUACACUAGGCAGAGAAUAACAGGAGGUGCAGAGUGGAGGGAUGGCCUUACCAUCGGCAGGGUAGCGUUUCGUUGCGAGGCGCCCAAAACAACGCCGCUAGAAGCCGGAGGCUGGAGCAGGCGAUCCCAGCAGCGUUGGGGGAAGAAGACGAGAGAUUGAAGAAGAAUGUCGGCCGUUGGAUGUAAAUCCAACGCCUUGCUUAGGCUUCGACCUACUGGCCCACAUGUUAGCUAGUACAUUUGUUUUUUUAGUCCAGUUGGUGGGCUGGGUGAAAGAAUGAUGUAGCAUCUAUGCAACCUGUUUAUAUAUAUGGUAGAAUUUAAAGCCCAUUUGCAUUCUUCUCGAAAUCCGUGGACUUGCUAGGCUGGGUGAAAAUAUCAUAUUGGGCUGGACGAAGAAAUAUUAUAAAAACAUAAACACAUGAUUGCACGUCUAUUACUGCAUUGGUCAGUAAAAUCUUUGCAAGCUUAUGUACGCAAUCACUAGGAGUUAACUUGCCAAGUUAUAUAUAAACAAUUAUUAUUAUUAUUUUGUAAGAACUUUCAACUUAUGAAAUAAAAUAUCAUUUUAAUUUGAUGAGUUAAUAGAACAUGGGGUAUUAUUAUUUUUAGGCUAGACGUGAGACAGUUGAGUUGGUUCUAGGGAAAUGUACUGAGAGAAAACUCAGUUUACAUCGAAAAAAAAGAGGAAGAAAAUUCAGAUAUAGGAUUAAUGAAAACAAAAAAUAAAGGAAAUGGGAAGGUCUAUAAAAUGAUUGGACGAACGACAGGUUUAACGAAACCUUAUGUUGUUUCUGUUAUAUAUAUAUAUAUAUAUAUACAUAUAUAUAUAUAUAUAUAUAUAUAUAUAUAUAUAUAUAUAUAUAUAAACUAUUAUUGAAGGGAAAACAUAGGUUCAGUUUUGCAUUCUUAUACAAAAAUAUAACUGAAUUAUGCGUCGUCUUGAAAAAACAAACAUAACUUGGGCUGCUGAUGUUAUAGACAAGCUAGGUUGGGAGGCCGACACUACUAGGGAAAAGCCUAUACACAAAAAUUUACUAGUAGCGAGGGUUUUUAACCCUCGCUACUGCUACUUACCAGUAGCGCGGGUUUUUAAACCUCGCUACUACUAAGUUGAUAGCAAUAGCGCAGGUUUUUAACCCUCGCUACUACUAAGCAGUCUCUACCGUGCCCCCCGGGACAUGCCAUAGUAGUAGCGCGGGUUUUUAAAACCUCGCUACUACUAAGUUUGAUAGCAGUAGCGUUGGUUUUUAGCCCUCGCUGCUACUAAGUGGUGCCAUAGUAGUAGCGAGAGGGUAAAAAACCGUGCUACUACUAAAGGUCCCAUUUUCAAACUCUACCCCCCCAUCACCUUUUCAGUUUUAAAAAAGUAAAAGAGAAUGAUGAAAAUGUUAAAAAAAAAUAAAAGAAAAUAAGUUUCCCAUGUGAUAUGUGGUCUAGUUGUUGGGAAAAUUUGCAAAUAUGAAUUUCGACUUUAUUUGCAAAAUCUCUCGAGAAUUUGUAAAAAUGGGCAUAACUUUUGCUUACUAACUCGGAUGAAAAAGUUUUUUAUAUGAAAAAUCAUCUACGCGAAAAGUUACAACCAAAUAUGAGCAUCCAGGUUCCGCUAUUGGUUAUUGACCGGAAACGUGUUUUAGUCAUGUCUACAUUGUUCUCGAACCCGUAGGGUCCGCACGCUUAAAUUUAGAUGACAGUUAUAUUAUGAGUUUAUAUGUUUUGAUGUACCGAAGGUAGUUUGGAGUCCCGGAUGUGAUCACGGACAUAACGAGGAGUCUCGAAAUGGUCGAGACAUGAAGAUUGAUAUAUUGGACGACUAUAUUUGGACACCGGAAUAGUUUCAGGGGUUAUCGGAUAUAUACCGGAGUACCGGGGGAUUACCGGAACCCCCCGGGGGGUUAAUGGGCCACAUGGGCCCAAAGUGGAGAAGAGGAGGGACGGCUGGGGCAGGCCGCGUGCCCCCUCCCCCUCUAGUCCGAAUUGGACAAGGAGGGGGGGGGGCUUUCCUUCCUCCCCCCUCUCCCUUCCUUCCCCCUCUCCUACUUGGACAAGGAAAGGAGGGAGUCCUACUCCCGGUCCCCUUGGCGUGCCCCCUCCUGGCCCGCUGCCCCCUCCCCCUUGCUCCUUUGUAUACAGGGGCAGGGGGCACCUCUAGAUACAACAAUUGAUAUUUGAUCUCUUAGCCGUGUGCGGUGCCCCCCUCCACCAUAAUCCACCUCGAUAAUAUCGUAGCGGUGCUUAGGCGAAGCCCUGCGUCGGUAAAACAUCAUCAUCUUCACCACGCCGUCGUGCUAACGGAACUCUCCCUCGACACUCGGCUGGAUCGGAGUUCAAGGGACGUUAUCGAGCUGAACGUGUGCAAGAACUCGGAGGUGCCGUGCUUUCGGUGCUUGACCGGUCGAGCCGUGAAGACGUACGACUACAUCAACUGCAUUGUGCUAAUGCUUCCGCUUACGGUCUACGAGGGUACAUGGACACACUCUCCCCUCUCGUUACUAUACAUCACCAUGAUCUUGCGUGUGCGUAGGAAAAUUUUAAAAUUACUGCGUUACCCAACACAAUCAUGUUUUGUGGUUGGUGGCUGGUGCGUAUGGUUUCCUACGCCGACAUUAUCUUUGAGCGGGGCAGGGAUGUCAGAUCUAGAGUUUGAUGGCGUGUCUGGGGUGCUGCCCGACUAGAUUCUUUCAACUCUAAUGGCUUCGCCUUUGGUAAGCUACUUUGGAUGCUCGAAAAGCUACACAUAUGAUGGAGCCAUGUUAAGCUCGGGUGAAGAGGUGAUCUAUCACAUUUUCUUUUGGUGGCUAUUGCGAUGGUGCUGUAGGUAGGCGACGGGCAUUGGCGUCUAGCUCAAGGGAUUUUUUGUCUUGAUUGUGUGUUGCUUUCUGGGCUUGUGGUUCUUUCUGCAAGGGCUAGAGUUCUACUGCCUUUUGAGUUUUAUCAGGUGCGUUUACAUGUCUUGUAGCUUGAUCUUUGUUAUAUGAAUGAGACACGUGUUACCAUGCAUAUUGUUUUAUAGAAAAAAACAAGAAACAUAGUCCAAGAAUAUUAGUACUGGGCUCUAUUGCACCUUCUUGUUGUGCAACGACCUCAGUCCAACCCAACACAUUAGUCCGCCGUCGCACAACCUCGUUUUGAAGCGGCCGCCAGAGAAGGACACAUGUGAAGCACUGCCGCUCACCGCAUCGUAUUGAUCCAUCACACGCCUUCUCUACGAGGUAUGCUCUUGACACCUGGUUUCUUGAUUCCCAUUGAUUUUUUCCGUAAGAGUUUUUGCUUGCAUCGACGUUACAUUGUUCUAAUCGAUUGAUACGCUGUUUGGACAUCGUUAAUAGAUUGUUAGAGAUAGAGCUGCAUCUGUUCCCUUUGGUCGUGUAUAUACUUCCUCCGUUCCAUUUUAAUUGUCACUAUUAUAGUACCCCCUCCAUUCCGCAUUAUGUGUCGCUGAUUUAAUCAGCGACACUUAAUAUGGAACAGAAGGAAUAGUAAGAAGAAAAAGUAUAAUUCAGUAUCAUGUUCUGAAGAUACAUGAUGACAUGUUCUCCAUUGCCUUCAGGUAAUCAAUGAUAUCUUAGGGACAUGACAGGCUGCGGCAAUGUUAUAAAUAUAUACCUCAUUUGAUUUUCAAUGUCAUUUUCAGUAGCAUGUGAACCCAAUCCCUUGUUGUGUUAUUUUGUCACUAGUGUUUUUCAUGCGCACAUAUAUGUUACCCGUGCACUAGCCAUUUCCACUUGUUGGCGUUUUGUAUUUCUUCUCCAUCUAUUACCUUUUCAAUUGUCCAGUUCAUUUUUCUAUUUUUUCUUCUAAUUGAUUAGACAAGGUGUGGUCUCUUGUAAGGGUCGCUACCAUCUCAACUAUGCCCAGUUUUCAAGGUUGGCCAGACCUCCCGAACGACCUGAUUCACUCCAUUGUUCCUUGGUUGGGAUCCUUCCCUAACGUUCUUGUAUUCGCUGCCACCUGCUCCUCUUGGUGUGUGGCCUUCUCCUCCUAUCUGUCUAAACAGAUGCUCUUGCCAUCUCUCUUCCUCCUACCUGACUUCCUGGCGUGCUCUCCUCGUCCUUGCCAAUUUAGCAACAAACUCGUACCUGAACAUUCAUGCUAUGUCACUACUUUAGCCAACCAAGACACCUACAUGUGUUGUUAGAUUCCCUAGUUUCCUCGUUUUGGUGAGAGUAAAUCCCGACAAAGUCCUUUGGGGGUUCUUAUUUCAGGGGUGUUUCCUAUGCCAUCUCAUCCUGCCCAACGAAAAUCAAUCAUGUCUUCUUAUUGAUGUCUUAACGGGUGUUAGUGUCUCAACUCCACAACUACGGGUCGACGCAAACACUUUCCUCUACCAUGCUUCCCUCACGGCUCCUCUGGCAUCACCCAACACAUAUUUGUUGGUUACCACUGGACGCCACAAUUUCUUUCGGGUGUUGGUGGUAACUCUUGGUUGAGAUGUUCUCUUUGCAGUGGAACGAUCGAGAAGGUUGUGGUCUUCAAAGGACAUUAUUUGGCAUGAACAAUUACCACAUGCUAUUUAUCAUGAACUUGGUACCAUGGAUUUGAAUACAGAAAAUUGCAGUUGAGAUUUUGGUGGAAGCAUGCCCAACAAAUGGCAUCUUUCUCACCCGUGGCUUGUUGCGUGUGGCAAUAUGCUUCUCCUAGUCGAUGAUCAUCGAUCUUUUCCAUCAACAGAAGAUACGUUUGAAGCUUCUGCCUCAACCUAGCGAGUGAACCUGCAAAGUGGGUGAAGGUGGAAAAGCUAGAAAAUUGGGCAAUCCUCAUCAACACCGAUGAGAGAAGCCACCCAUUGUGUUGCAUGAACCCAGAGAGAUGGGAAAGGAUGAGCAACUGAAAAACUUCUAUUUGCAUGAUUCUAAUAAUUGGAUCUCUUUGAGUUGGAAAGCCGUUGCAGGGAGAUGCCUCUUUAUUUGCAUAUAAACCGUGGCAGUAUGAUUCGACCAACGUGGGUUGUGCCUCUAGUAUGUUCUAUUCGUGUCCAUGUUGAUUGAUAGUCUUGAUGCAUGGUUAUUACUGCUCGUGUAAGAUGUCUUGACUUUUGUGUAGGUCUAUCCAAAAAAGUUUGGAACCUUUGAUAUAUUUGGAGCAUUACGAUGUUAGUUAUAUUGGGAGUUCUAACCUCUUAGUUGAGGGCACUUGAGUGUCGCUCCUUUCCCGAGGGUGUUGUUGUUGAAGAACCUCAUCGUCCAUGUGGUGUCAUGAGAUUGUUGGUGUGGAGAUGGUCAUUGUUGUAGUUUGCCGAUCACAUAUGUGAUCGCUUUGGAGCUAUUUUUCUUUUUUCUCCGUGUACACAUAGUUUUGGUCUUAUAUAACUUUGCUAGUUGCCGGCGUGUUUUCAUGUGUGUGUAAGUUGGUGUUCGUUGUGUGCAUCCUAGCUAUGCAGAGGCCAGGUGUAUACUCAUUGUGCUAUGUAUCUUCUUGAUCCUCCAUUUUGAGCCAAUAAAAUACAUCCUUUGUUGAAAAAAAAGUUCAGUCUCCAUCAAAAUGUUGUUUAUCUUUAUUUUAAGCCAGGCCUCAGCUUGUUUCGAAAAAUUGCUCUUCUAGUAUCAUGCCAGGAGCAUUGAUGAUUUUGCAGUUAGUUCAUCCUUGAGCGUUUAGACCUUAUAAGAGAUGUGUUUAUGUUGGCAUUAGCGCACUCAAGCUUAUGUGCUUUGUGGCCUUUCAGUUAGACCUGUUGUUUACUACUCAUGGAUCCUUUUUCUUUUGCUAUAACUGGCAAGUUUGAAGAGCAGUUUUGCCUUAAGAGGUUCUUCAGGUGCAUGGUUCUAGUUGUGUGCUUGACCUAACAAGUACAAUAAGCUUCUGGCCUGCAGUGACUCUAAUCAUUAUUGUAACACAAAGGUAAUUAUACCCCUCUCUGACAGCAUUGAAUUCACCAGGCUGGUCCUAGGAUGCAUGCAUAUGCUGCUGCCUCUGUAGGAACUUUGACCAUAAGAACCAUCUUAUGUAUUUUAAGCUCCAUGACCGGCGUUGAACUUUUCUCAUGGUCAAAGUUUCAAAGUACACACUGCCUGAACGUAUGGUUUUUGUUCUCAUCCUGCUAUGAAGCAGAUCUCCUAUAGCUACAAGAAUCCAAAUCCAAGUUUAAUUUUUAAGCACCUUCCCUAUUUCUGCAUGUGCUUGUGCUUUCGUUUACAUGUUAUUCUCUUUCGUUGCAAAAAUACAGUUUUAACAACCAUAAUUUGCGGUAUUACGCAAAUUUGCCUCUUAAGAUACAUGCCACGUCCUGGUUAGUUGCAUGGCCGAUGUGUAAUAAACUAAUAACACUGAAAUGUAUGCUUUUGUGCUGAUUGGUUUCUGUGCUUGCUCUUGAGCUGAGGGAUAUUUGUUUGUUGCUGGAGUUUGAUUUCAAAAGCUACAGUAUUUUUUUCUCGGACAGAUGGGGACGCAACCUGCGGUCUCUCUUUUUUGAUAGUUCUUUUUGUGGGGGCUUUCUUUAUGGGACGGCAUGGAUGGUUCAACCUUUUCCUUCUGCAAUGUGUGAUCGGUCCUCAAAGAAAACGUGCUCUUAGUCUUUUGUCCAAUGAACCAGCAACCACUGAUGCUCCCUUCUUUUAUUUGCCCGCCUGUUGCUUCUGUGAAGUGUGGGGCGAAUAGAUGUAGAUGAAUGCGUAUCUUGCAUACUAUGAUGGUAGCUUAGUCUUACGGUCUAUGUUUCACUUACUACAAACUACGUGUGAUUAAAUUAAUGGAGAUAGCAUCAUACCGAUUGACUGCCCAACUUCUUAAAGAACUUGGUGUGCAAAAUUCUUACAUUCUGCACUGUUGACCUGAUCGUUUCACAGAGAUCAAACAUGUGAGAUGGUAUGGCGUUCUAGCUAUCAUCCCAAUUAUUGGCGACCUUACAACACUCUAGUCCAUAUAUAAUAUAUUGUGCAGUUUCAACAAUGUAGCUGUCCUCAAAUUAUAUUCUCAAAAUUAUAUUAGCCUCUUUUCCAAAUGAUCGGCACUUAGUCUAAUCCGGCAUAUUUUAAAAGACUUUUCUGAGUCAACCAUGGAAUACAACGAUGGGUGCCAAGACGGACAAAAAACACACUGGCCUUAUUAAGAAGCGGAGCUGCUUAAUUUCCUGGGUGAGUAGAGUUUAGUUGCUGUGGUAAGGACAAAGAAAUAUCAGCCAUCCAAUCAGUAGAUCUGAUGGUCCAACGUGAUCAAUACUUGUCCAGCGAAGGAGUAGUAUUUUUUCUCCGAAGGGCAAAAUGGGCAGAGGGAAAAAACGCCUCCCACACGAGAUUAAAAUAAAAAUAAAAUCCCGCACACAGAAAGGGUAUUUUGGGGAGAUGGAAAUUUGCCCACCCCGGUCCAUCCCCGAUCCAUCUAAUUUUCUCCUGCAGAUUCGCUAAAGAAAAAAUCUCUCCCGCACACACCACCAGUCGCUCGGCGGCGCACCCACCCACUGCAUCUCCACACCGGAUCCACUCACUCGGCUGCGCGCUAUUCCAGGCCGCCGCCGGCAGCCAACUGAGCUCCUCCUCGGCUGCGCGCUAUUCCAGGCCGCCGCCGGAAGCCGGUACGUCGACAAUGGAGACCGCCAAAUGGCGGCGUCUACGACCAGAUCGCCGGUAAAACCCGCGGCGCCGCCGGCCAGCGAGGCCGGGCGCCAAGAUGGAGGCUAUGGAGGGCGGACCCCGGCCCUUCUGUGGCGCUCGUUGGACUAGUACGGUUGGCGGCGGCAAGCGGUGGCGGGGGGAGCAAGGUGCGGCCGCGUGGUUGCCUCCUGCCGUAUCAGCAGAGGAGAAGCAUCUGGGAGAAAUUGCGGCGUCGGCUCUGGUGGAAGGCAGGUACGGCAAGCACCUGGCGUCGCUUCAAGAGUGGAUGAAAAAAGGUGUUCCCCCAUGUGCGUGCACUCCAGCUGUUGGCCGUCGACGAGGAUCAUCACCCACCGAAGACGUAUGUCUCUCUCCUCUCCUCUGUUCAUAGAAAGGGGAGCCACCGGCAUGAUGAGAAAUUGCAGUUGGAAGUGAAAUUUGAUAUUUUGAAUCUCAAGUUUCUGUCAACUCUAUAACAAGAUACGUACUUGAAAUUGUUGAAUUAAAUUCUGUUAACUCUCUUCUAAUCAAAAGAAAAAAAAGAUUUGAAAUAGGGAAAUACUAAGUGGAAAUUGGGGAAUUGCAAACAAGUCUUUGUUACAGACAGAAAAGGUGGCUUAGGGAUGUGGCAGUGAACAUUUGGAAAACUAUUGCUAGAUCACCACUUCUCAGUUUUUCUAUAACAGAACCAAUCCUUCCGUUAAUAAAUUUUUUCCAUACUUCUUGUAUGAAAUAAUAAUUCAUACAAUUGAAUAACUGAUUGCUUAGCAAAAGGCUGUUGCAAUGGUAUUAGUUUAUCUUAACAGUCCUUCUGCUGUUCAGCUCUGUUCCUUGCAUGAAUUUGGAAAUGCAGAUUAUAAAAGGAAUAACUUUGCUGCAGCUGGUCGUUGUAAAAGUUUCUCUAUAGUAAGCUUUCUUACUUUUUUUUUGCGGGGUAGUAAGCUUUCUUACUUGGAUGUAGCAAGCCGAUGAUCUGUGUUCGGCCAUACCUGCAAUAUUGCUCUCGCCAUUGCAUGGUCCCCAUCAGUGAUCACGGACCUGGGAUGGUUCUGGUGCAUCGCCUCCAAAAAUGAAUGGAGCAACCACUUAUAUGAUGCCACGGUCUCGUCUGAUACAAUGCCGACCCCAAAGACAACUGUGCUGCGAUGGUGGUUCAAUCCAAUGAAUGGGACAAAUGGCAAGUUAUAUUUGUUUACACGGUACGUGCUGUCAAACACAACAACACCACCAAAGGCAUCAUAGUCCAACCGCCACUGCGCGUCUGACCAAAAUAGGUUCUGCAGAUGGCCUUCGCUGUCUGUGCUGUACCUGUAAAAGAAUUCAGAAUCUCUCUCUUCCUGCGCAGCCAUAUAGUUCAGCAUGUAUUGGGCAUCAAAACCUUCAAUCCUUUGCUUCUUGUACUCAGCAAUAAAAUUAUAUAGGUCCCGAGACACACAGCCGACUUUGUCAUACCCACCAUGCUGCUUCUCCAUUACGUCCAUUAUUUGAUGUGUGCGUAGACCACCAAUACCAUACUCAAUGGCAUCAGCCUUUUGAGGAUCAUUAAGUCCACGAUGAGACCAUAAGAAAGGUGUCUGGUCAGGCUUAGUGAAUUCAUGGUUAUGCUGGUCCACAAAGUCCUUGACAAACCAUUCACGGCUUUCCAUAUUGAGCUCGAUUUGCAGUCGAGCGUCACAUCCACAACGAGAGAGUGCCCUUGGUUUCCUUUUCCGGUUGGACCUUUCAAAGUUUUUCAAGGACCUAUAUCCUUCUUUGCUGCACAUGUACAACCUUUGGAUUCUUAUGCCUCCCUUGUUUUUCACAUUGGCCUUCCUCACGCUGAACCCUUUGGCUUUAGCAUAUCUAUUAUAGAACUCGAAACCUUGUUCCUCGCUUGUGAAUGUUUGACUAACCACCGUGUAAUAUUCUUCAAUUUCCUCUAUGCUGACGUGGUGAGCAUCCAUGUUGUGUAACUGCCAUCCACAAAGAAACUGAAUAAUGUUAUUUAGGCAUCUCCAGUGCCAAACUACAUCAUAAAAAAUGUAAAUCAAAGUACUUCUGCUACAUACACCGGCAAGCAAUUCCUGCUCUAGAGAAUCAUUGAUAGCAACUUACAGCUUCUCAAAGAAGAAAAAUCAUCCUAUGAGUUGGUUGUAGUACUGUAUAUCCUUCUGAGGAACAAGAUUAUUAUUAGGAAAGGAAUAUAAUCUCUACUGUACAUUCCUCUGAGGAAAGAGCUGAUUAUUAGGAAAAAUAUCAGUUUAGUGCAAAGCCUCAGAUAGUAAUCUUUAUGUGCAGCUAAGUUUUCUAGUAGUUUGAAAAGUUGUGGUGCUUCUUUGACAUGGUUUCCUGAAUGACGGAUUUGUACAACAUUCUGCUAUCAAUGUGCUUUCGUGAUCCUGGAGAUUUCAUGUUUCAUAGGACAAUUGACAUGGAAAUAUACAUCCUGCUAUGAUCUGGGACUAAUAUAUGUCAGGCCGUUUCAUUACUUGUCAAGUAGUUUGCAGGAUUCGCAUGAGAACAAACAACGAGGACAAAUAAAGUUACUAAGUAAUGAAACGGCCUGACAUAGAGAGUUGUUCAUGUUCAAGCAUUACCUUUCUGCAGGCCGACCAGCAGUGGUAGAGACGGAUGAACAGGCGGAGCUAACGGUGACAGCUGAUUAGCCGGCGGUAGUGCAGCGGCAAGUGGCGGCCACAGCUCCUGUUAGAGGCAGACGGAACAGACGGGCAGGAAGGUUCCGGACGUGGAAGGCACGGCAGCCGGCGGCGAGAGCCACGGGUCGGCUGCGGCGGACGAAACGGACGGGCAGGAAGGAUCGGAGGCGGACGGCGCGGAAGCGACAAAUGGCGGCGAGAGCGACGAGUGGGCUGCGGUGGCCGGAACAGACGGGCAGGAAGGAUCCCGAGGCGGACGGCGCGGCAGCGGCAGGCUGCGGUGGCCGGAACAGACGGGCAGGAAGGAUCCCGAGGCGGACGGCGCGGCAGCGGCAGGCAGCGGCGAGAGAGCGGCAAUUAGGGCUUGGGUGACGUGAAUGCAGGUGUAGGGGCCGAUUCAGUCGGGACUUUCAGUUGAUUAGUAAACUUUUUAUCGGACUAAACUGCCCUUGGGCUAAGAGAAAAAAAAUCUAAUAUAAAGUGCCUAGAUUACCCUUGAAAUCAACGGUGGAUCUGUUCAAAUACUAGUCUCUCCCGUGACUAGUAAUUUGCACCGUAAAACCCCUCUUAAAUUAAAUCUUGUGUUGCAUGGAUAUGUAAUCACCGUUCGUGUUGACACUAUGUCCCUUCUAGUUGAUCGCCAUUGGAACAUUUCACUUGCACAUAUUUCCUGUGCUGCCAAGCACCCCAGACAGGCCUUCGUAUCCGAGCGGGGUUGCCACAAAUUUACCGUCCAGAUUUGUAACCGGCCGACGAAGUAGCGUUAGUGCUUACUCAAGCUAGCUUCAACGCUUCAUUACAUAUUUCACUCAAGUUUUUGUAGUAACAGUUGCUUGAGAAGCAUGAUUUGAUUACACGUGACAUCAAAAUGACCGAAUACAUGCAGUAGGAAAAAAAAGCUCUUAUAAUGUACCCCUAAAUGAAUAUGUACCAUUUCGAUGUUACCUUCAAGUCUUGAUGCUAGGCCCGGCCAACCCAAUGAACACUAAAUAUGGUUUGGACAAGGGGGCGGGCUUGGCGGCCUGAGUAUGGAUGGGCCUGGCAGUAGAUAGCAACCAUGGAAGAUUACAGACUCAUAGCACAUGACCCAUGCAAACAUCCUGUAGAAGAAAGAACAAACUCAAUUCAGUAAAGUUCAGUUCCAUCACAUCAGAGUAGCUCCAUGGAAAUAUCUUUACAUGUAAAGGGCAUCCUAUGAGUUUUGUCGUGCUCUACUAAUGCAUGUUUAUCUUACCAACUCAAAUAAAAUUACAAAAUCAGUUCUAGGAACAAUUAAUCGAGUGUGGAACACCUCUUCACAGCUAAUGGUUUGUUGGUGUGCUCAACCUAAACAGCUAAUGCAAGAUUACAAACCAUUAACUCAAAAAAAAACACCAUGGAUCAUGUGAAUGCAAAAGCUAAUUUACACAUAACACAUGUAUAAGAUUACAAAUUGGGUUUCACAAAAAGAUAUGCCACCCGAACUCUUGACAUGUAAAGUGAUGAUUGAUGAGUCAUAUGCAUUAUCAAUCUCACCUGGCAGUCAAGUGAUAUGUGCCGAAAAGUAUAUUUGAUGGCCAUUGAAGAUUAGACUUUAGCGCCACCUAACACAACAAUACGAGAUUAUCAGUUUGGAAAGCAUCCAAAUGCAUUCGUAAAAUAAUGUAGGAAUGGAAUGCAGCAAACAGACCAUGAGAGCUAUAAAUAGGCAUGUACCAUGAAGAUCCUCCUUCAUCAACCUUCAGACAACCACAAACAGCAAAGCAAACUUGAGGCUAGCCACCAUGAAGGUCUUCAUCCUGGCUCUCCUCGCCCUCACAGCAACCACCGCCAUUGCCCAGUUGGAAACCACAUGUAGCCAGGGCUUCGGACAAUACCAACAACAGCAACAACCUGGGCAACGACAGUUGCUGGAGCAGAUGAAGCCGUGUGUGGCAUUCCUGCAACAACAGUGUAGGCCACUGAGAAUGCCAUUCCUCCAGACACAGGUGGAGCAGCUUAGCAGCUGCCAGAUCGUGCAACACCAAUGCUGCCAGCAGCUAGCGCAGAUCCCAGAGCGAAUCCGGUGCCAUGCCAUCCACAGCGUGGUAGAGGCUAUCAUGCAACAACAAUCCCAACAACAAUGGCAGGAGCGCCAACAGCAAGCACAACAUAAGAGCAUGAGGAUGUUGCUUGAGAACCUAUCAUUGAUGUGCAACAUCUAUGUCCCGGUACAAUGCCAGCAGCAACAACAAAUGGGGCAACAACAACAACAACAACAGUUGCAGGAGCAGUUGACACCGUGUGCGACAUUCCUCCAACAUCAGUGUAGCCCAGUGACAGUGCCAUUCCCCCAGAUACCGGUGGAUCAGCCUACCAGCUGCCAGAAUGUGCAGCACCAAUGUUGCCGACAGCUAUCACAGAUCCCGGAGCAAUUUCGUUGCCAAGCCAUCCAUAACGUGGCUGAGGCUAUCAGGCAACAACAACCCCAACAACAAUGGCAGGGUAUGUACCAGCCGCAGCAGCCAGCACAACAUGAGAGCAUUCGGAUGUCGCUUCAGGCCCUGCGGUCGAUGUGCAACAUCUACAUACCGGUACAAUGCCCCGCCCCCACCGCCUACAACAUUCCCAUGGUGGCUACCUGCACUAGUGGUGCAUGCUAGAUGAUCAAUGUAGCGGCCGAAAAAUAAAAAUGCCAUGCAUCAUCAUGUGUGGCAAAUACUAGUUGCAAUAUGGAAAUGAUGAAUAAACGUUCCUGAAUAAAGCAUUUGCCUGAAUAAAACUACAUAUUUCCAUGAUAGAUGAAAUUUCUGGAUCUUCUGGUUGAACUUAACCAUCACCGUGUUCUGUAUGUCUCCCAUUAAACCAGCAGUUCAU
This 74042-nucleotide long non-coding RNA is filed under the name Triticum aestivum (bread wheat). RNAcentral describes it as "long non-coding RNA (TAES_LNC002496)". The stretch from base 14852 to 14978 matches the Rfam family "MIR1120/MIR1122 microRNA precursor family". Lineage: Eukaryota; Viridiplantae; Streptophyta; Magnoliopsida; Poales; Poaceae. The record is from RNAcentral.